UUUUUGAGGCGGUGGCUGCCGAGGUGGUGCCUGAGAGAGCUCCAGAGCCUGUAGCAGAUGAAAGACCUACCGAGCGAACAGUAGUAGGCUUGCAAUCACAACUUGAACAAGUCUGGAGAUGUCUUGCAGAAGAAUCAGCGGGAAUCAUUGGCCUAUAUGGUAUGGGCGGUGUUGGUAAAACUACACUAUUGACCCAUAUCAACAAUAAAUUUCUCGAGAGUCCAACCAACUUUGAUUGUGUGAUUUGGGUAGUAGUUUCAAAAGACCUGCGACUUGAAAAAGUUCAAGAAAAUAUUGGGAAAAAGAUAGGUUUGGUUGAUGAUUCAUGGAAGAGUAAAAGUGUAGAGGAGAAAGCUCUCGACAUCUUCCGGAGUUUAAGAGAGAAGAGAAUUGUAUUGCUGUUAGAUGAUAUAUGGGAGCGGGUUGAUUUAACAAAAGUGGGCGUUCCACUUCCAGGACCACAAAAUACUACCUCAAAAGUCGUAUUCACAACCCGUUUCAUCGAUGUUUGUGGUAGCAUGGAAGCUGACAGGAAGUUCCAAGUAGCAUGCUUAUCAGAAAAGGAUGCUUGGGAACUGUUUCGAGAAAAAGUUGGGGAAGAAACUCUUCAGAGUCAUCAUGAUAUCGUUGAGCUAGCCCAAAUUGUGGUCAAAGAGUGUGGUGGUUUGCCACUCGCACUUAUUACUAUUGGUCGAGCUAUGGCCUACAGAAAGAAAGCGGAGCAGUGGAGACGUGCAAUUGAAGAGUUAAGGAGAUCAGCCUCAGAGUUUGCAGGUUUGGGAAAAGAGGUGUAUACUCUUUUGAAAUUCAGCUAUGAUAGUUUGCAGAAUGAUACGGUUAGAUCUUGUUUCUUGUAUUGUUGUUUAUAUCCUGAAGAUUAUGGCAUUCUUAAAUGGGACUUGAUUGAUUGUUGGAUUGGCGAGGGAUUUUUUGGGGAAUCUGACAGGUCUGGUGCAGAAAACCAAGGAUAUGACAUUUUGGACACUCUUGUUCGUGCAUGUUUAUUAGAAGAGGUGGAAGAUGAUAAAGUAAAAAUGCAUGACGUUGUUCGUGAUAUGGCUGUAUGGAUAACCAGUGAAAUUGAGAAAGGGAAGAGAAACUUUUUGGUUCGUGCAGGUGCUGGAUUAAAAGAGGCACCGGAUGUUAAAGGAUGGGAAAAUGUGAGAAGAUUGUCAUUGAUGCAAAACCAAAUUGAAACUCUGUCCGAGGUUCCUACAUGCCCUCAUCUCCUCACUUUAUUUCUUGACUUUAAUGAGAAGUUGAAGAUGAUCACGGAUGGCUUCUUCCAAUUUAUGCCUUCUCUCAAAGUUUUGAAGAUUUCACACUGUGGUAGGAAUUGGAAAGAUUUGAAAUUACCUGUUGGGAUGUCAAAGUUGGGUUCACUAGAACUUCUUGAUAUUUCACAUACGCUGAUAACAGAGUUACCAGAAGAGUUAAAGUUGUUGGUAAAUCUGAAAUGUUUGAAUUUGAGGUCGACAGAAUUGUUAAUUAGAAUUCCACGGCAACUGGUAUCAAAUUCUUCAAGGUUACGUGUGUUGAGAAUGUUCGCUACUGGCUGGUUAAAUUUUCAUGAAGCACCAGAAGACAGCGUUUUAUUUGGUGGGGGUGAAGUUUUGAUACAGGAAUUGCUCGGUUUGAAAUAUUUAGAGGUAUUGGAGUUGACCUUGCGAAGUUAUCAUGCUCUCCAAAUUCUUUUGAGCUCAAAUAAGUUAAAAAGUUGUAUUCCAUCUCUUUUCCUCCAGUUGGCCGGAGAUACAACGUCGAUUAUUGAUGCUGCGGCUUUCGCAGAUCUAAACCACCUCAACGAUUUAUUUAUUUAUAAAGGCAUUCAGUUGGAAGAAUUGAAGAUUGAUUAUACAGAGAUAGUACAAAAAAGGCGGGAACCUUUUGUUUUCCGCAGCCUUCACCGUGUUUCUAUUGGGGGGUGCGAUAAAUUGAAAGAUGUGACAUUCCUCGUUUUUGCUCCAAACCUCAAGUCUCUUUGGCUAUUCGAUUGCGGUGCUAUGGAAGAAAUAAUCAGCGUCGGAAAAUUUGCUGAGACUCCUGAGAUGAUGGGACAUAUAAGCCCUUUUGAAAAUCUCCAAAGGCUUGAAUUAUGGGAUUUGCCAGCUUUGAAGAGCUUCUACUGGAAGCCAUUGCCUUUCACUCAUCUGAAAGAAAUGGUGGUACAUGGGUGUCAUCAGCUUAGAAAGCUUCCACUCGAUUCCAACAGAGCAAAAGAGCGUAAAUUUGUUAUUCGUGGAAAAGCAGACUGGUGGAACCGACUUCAAUGGGAGGAUGAAGCCACUCAAAUUGCUUUUCGUUCCUGUUUCCAACCUCGUUCCUGAGCGGUGGUCGCAAAAUUUGAUUUCUGGUGAGUGCAUUCGUCUUUUAAAAGAAGAAUUUAAAAGAAAUUUAUUCUUGUCGUUUUCUUCUCUGUUUUUAUUUCAGUUUCUUUCUCUCUCUCUCUCAAGGAUCUCUAAUCAAUAGCUGGAAGCAAUUGAGAGGCGCCGAGACCCGAUCGGAUCUAGGCCCAAGUUUGGUCUUAAAGCCUGGGCUUGAGCCUGACAAUUAAAUUAAAACAUUAAUUGAUUUAUUGAUUGAAUUGUUGUGUAAUUGAUUUAUGGGGGAUGAAACAUCAACAUACUUGAAAAUACACUAAUCUUAGCAUCAUCGGUUAAUAACUGUUAGAUUUAUGGGUAAUCGUAAUCAAUAGUUAAGAUUAGUUGUCAUUAAUACUAAAUAUUUUUUACUAUUUUUGUCUCUACUAGAGGAUCUUCUAGAAAAAUGCAUCCACAACAAAAUUUAAUAUUUUACAUAAUAAACAAAAUAUAAAUGUUAAAUUUAAGAAACUGCAUUGCAUUUCAGCUGAAGCUGACUUUAAUAUUUAGGGUAGAAAAACAAUUAAAUCCUUAAUGUGUUUAAUUUCUAUCACUUGUGUCAUUAAAAUUUUCUAGCCACCUUAACCAAUUACAUCUCAACCCACUUUUUUUGGAUGAUUUUAUUUUUACACAAUUAUUUUCAACAUAUCAUGAUGUAUUCGUCAAAAGCUGGAAAUGACUGUUGCCCGUCAAAAUUCACAUUUUUUCCUUAACGAUAAAGUUUUAAUAUAAUUUUGAAGUUAUAACGUCAUAAAUAUAUUGCAUAAUAAUAAGAAAAAGGACCUAAAUGGUAAAAGUGAUAAAUAAUAAGAUCGAAGUAUCAUUUUCCAAUGUUAAAUGAGGCAAUGCCAUUCUCCGGUUCUCUUCUUUAAAUGCGUGAUGUGUGUGCUCUGUUUUCUCUAUUAUUCUUUUUCUCUUUUAGAUUUUGAGAACGUAAAGGGUGCAGGAGUCUUUAUCUUGUUAAAACAAGUCUUUUCGAAGUAUUCAACUAAAUUAAAUCAUGGCCUAAUGCUGUGUCAAUUCCAUCAUCAGCAUUUUUUUUUUCCUUUUUAACACCAACAUCAGUGUAUGUUUGGAUAAUUUGAAAUCUGUUUGUGUUUUAUCUCAAAGUAGAGCUUCAAUCAAUUUGUACCUCACAAAUUCACAAUAUCUAUUAAGGAUAAUAAGACCGAACUCUGGCAUAUUGUCAAAUGUGCUUAUCCAAUUCCAAAUUAAAAUGUUGACAGUGUUUCAUCAACCAAGAACUUGUCUUCGAUAGUUAAUCGGAUUAAAGGGAAUAAUUAAUGAGAGCAAUUAAUUAAUAUUAGCCGGCAUCGUCUGUUUCAUAGGUACUCGUGGUUCACUAACAUAAGCGUUGAAUUUGUAUAGUAGCUUGUUCCUUUCCUUCGGUUUUACUUAAUGAAAACCUUGGCUAGAUCGUACACCAAUGUAAAAUCGAAAACCCUUAUGCCACGAAGAGUUCUUAGUGCAAUUGAGAUCAAUGAUAAUCAGCUGAUAGGGAAAACAUUGUCUGAUUGUCAUAAACAAACUUCUUGAAAAUGCCAUCAGUAACAUGGAAGAUUUGGAGGUUAUUCAAAUGCUGACUUCAGGAAUGCAGAUUAAUAUAUUAUGGAGACAGAUUGAGUGCAAUGGCUAAUUGUAACAGGGAAUUUUUAUUGUACAAACAGACCAGCCAGCAAAGAAUAUUCCAAAUCUAGGACUAAACAAGUCAAUAAUAAAAUAAACAAACGGCAAGAGAGAGUGAUUAUAUCUACAACACCAUCGGCUACUACAAAUUCAACUUUUCAACAGUUGUUACUCACCAUGAACAGAAAAAAGAAAAUUACAACAAAAAAUUGGUUGCUAAAAGACGUCUAUUCAUGGUAAUGCCUCUCAAAUGGGUUCAAAACAUGGAAGAAAAGCAUUUAGUGUGGCUUCAUCGUCCCAUUUCAGCUCACUCCACCAGUGUUGCAGGGGCUUAGUCAAAGUGGCUUUCAAGAAGUUUUAUUACCACCUCAGUUCAAAUCCUAAGAGAGGUAGGAGGAUAAAAGAAUUAAUUUGGACUUUACCUAGCCCUCUACCUUUGUUAAAUUUAUGUUAAAAAAAAAAAUAGAUUUGAGAUUGGUAAUAUCCUUAUUUUUUGUUUUCAAAGGAAACUGAUUUAGGACCAAUGAGACUUUGAUCCAAUGGGAGAAGCCUUUCACUUAUAAUGUUAAGUAUAAGGGUUCGAUCCUCCAUAAGAGCUUUAUGAAGGUUAAUUUCAGUACUUCCUUAGUUAUCAGUUAAUUGAGUGGAGACAGUCUCUCCCUUACGAAAUGUGAGUGGAGUAGGCACCCCUCGAAUAUUAGAGAAGGUUUAAAGUAUCUGAGCAAGUGCUUUAGUGGGUUAAUAUAUGGCGGUAGUUCCAGUUGUUUAGUAUGAUUGUAGUACGAUUGUAUAUAUUAAUUGUAAUAUCUAAUGUAAUAUCAAUAACAAUCUGUGCAUAACAGAAUUCAAAAAAAGAAAAGAAAAAAGAAAACUGAUUUAGGUGGUUUCUUGGUUAAGACUUUUUCUUUAGCAUACUUAGUUCCACGUGCUAUUUAGAUAUUUUUCGACAUACUUAUUACUUAGUUCCACAUGCUAUUUAGAUAUAUUUCGACCAAAUGAACAAGCGCAAGCCAUUGACACUUAGCUUAAUUUCAGGGUCAAGCUAUAUUUGAAACUCAAAUAUUAACCUAUUAAUAUUUUCAAUUCAUUCAAUUAUAAAUUAGAGAUGAUAGAAAUUCUCAUAGGAACAGGGGCCCUAGGGGAUUUUAGAGGAUUUUUCCCAUUCGGGAAGGGUAGGAGACAAUUUUAUAUCAAGUUUCUUAUUCCCAGAGACUAUAAUAUUUUUUUACCUAAUUUCUUAUUCAGGGAAGAUAUGGAGAUGAUGUGGACUUUCCAUCCCCUCCCAAUUCUCCAUUUUUAUUUUUAAUUUUUAUAUUAUUUUUCUAGAAUUAUUAGUGAAAAUAAUAAAAUUUAAAUUGUAAAAAUUUUAUUAAUGAAUAAAUAAAAAUAAAAAUUUUAGACACCUUUUUCCCAAACUUGUAGCUUGACUUGCAGUUCUUGGAGCAGUAGCCUCCAAGACAGUUUUUCAAUUUCUCGAGAGCCGUCCCUUGUCAAUUCACCAACUUCAGCUUCCACAGCCGCCACCCUUGAGGUGAUGUUUGGUUGGGAGGAGAGAAUGGGGGAGAGGAAAGUAAUUUAAAUUCUACUUUUAUUUUUAUUGUUUGGUUGCACGAAAUAUAUAAGAAUUUAAUUUCCAUUAGAAUUUAAUAUCCUUUAUAAUCUAGAAUUUGAAUUCCACACCAAAGAGUGAAGAAUUCAAAUUCCUCUUAGGUUGAAAACCCAAGUUUCCAAAUUUGUCCUUCAACAUUUUAACUUGUUUAAUGCUAUUAAUAAUUAUUAUUUAUAAUUUUAUUUUAUCAAUUUAAUAUUAUAAAUAAUUUAAUAUUAAUUAAAUUUAAUGAAUGAUUUAAGACAUUUAAUAAAAUAAAUAAACUUAUUUAUUUAUUUAAUAUGCAAAUAUAUAAAUAUAAAUUAACUAUCGCCGGAACUUCGCUGGACCGUCGCCGGAAGCUGUCGAAAUUUCACCGAAAAGUCACCAACCACUGUUGAUCGGCGUUGGCUUAUGUUGACCGCUACUGUUGACCGGCUUUUAUUUAUAUUAAAUUAUAUUAAAUAGUUUAGUAUAUUAAAUUAUUUUAUAUUUUAUAUUAAAUAUAAAUCAUGAAUUGUUUCAUAACUUUUUGAAAUUAAAAAAAAUUGGUAUUAAUAUUAAAUUAUAUUUUAUUACUAAUAUAGAUAAUUUAGUAUUUAAGGUAAAGGAUAAAUUUGUCCAAAGAAAAAAAUUAUAAUUUCUUUCCUUAUCAAAUUUGAUGUCAAACCAAACAUUGAAAUUUAAUUUUAUUAAUCUCUUCCACUCAUUUCUCCUCCAUUCCACUUUUUUCUUCUCCUCUCCUUUUUUAAAACCAAACACCACCUGAAAGCCAACCUUGCACUUUGUUCAGCCGUCUCAGUUGUUGCUGCUCAGGAUUGGCGACCCUCAUCAUCACAUCGUUCUUUGGUUCAAUUAAUUUCUGCAAUUCGGUCUGGAUGGCAACCAGGUUAUCUUCAAGCUGGCUUAAAUAUCAUGCUUUUCUGCGGGUACAAUUUAUGAAGCCAGUGAAAAUUACGCAUACAAUAGGAGUGCAACACAGUGUGUAUUCGGUUGUGGUGUCUAUGAUUUUGCAGUCGCAGAAGCUUAUUCACCUUAUGAAGACUGAUCAGGUGGGCACCGUCGCUCUCCUUACAUUCUUAUGGAGAGCGAUAGUCCAUGUAGUCAGAUCUCACUGAGAGAACUAGCCGAGUGGGCAAUCGCUCCGCCUGAUCAAAAUUUGUCAUCUUAUAAUAAUAUCUUGAGUAGGUCUUGAAUUUUUUUUCCAAUUUUAAUCUUUAAAAGGUAGAAGAGGUGAAAAAAACCUAAAUAGUAUUUGUGUCCUCCUAAAUAACAUUUCUUGAACAUCAAUGGAUCUUAAAACUUAAUUAAGAAAAUAUUAUAGAUUUAUAAAUUAGUGGCCCUUAAAAUUUAUUUGCAAGUAACAAUUAGAGAAAAGUCGUCAGGCCCAAAAGACUUAGAGCAUCACCAAAAGACUCUUCAAAUAAGAUUUUAUUAAUUAUUUGAAGAGCCAUCUCAAUAUUUAAGACUCCAAAAGACACUCCAAUUAAGAUUCUUCAAAUAAGAAAUAAUUCUCUCUCUUCAAAUUUGGAGAGUUGAUUUCUCCCUCUUCAAUUUAUACUUUAUUACUUUCCAUUGGAGAAAAAGAGAGAAGUGCUUUAAUUGCUAUUGACUUUUUCUUUAAAAAAAUAAUUAUUUGAUUAAAAUAAUAUUAAGUUAUUUCUAUUUGAAGAGUCUUUUGGAGAAUAUUAUUUUUUUUUACUCUUCUAUUUGCCACAUAGAUAAGCAAAUAGAUAUUUGAAGAGUAAAAUUUAUAGAGUCUUUUGGAGAUGCUCUUACUAAAAGUCGGCAACUCGUCAUGACCAAAAUUCUUCCGAGUGUGAAAUACGGCAUGCGCAGAUGCAUUAAAAACAAAAGCCAGCUAAGAUAUUCUUUGUAUACUUGCAUUCCCUAUCAUCUUAUUAAUAAUUUCAGACACGUCGUUCGUUCCCUGUGACUUUUCAUAUGCAACAGCACAGUCAGUGUUACAAUUUACAUUUCGAAUUGGGUGUCAUCUAUAUACUCUACCUAGAUCUAACAUGAUAUUGCAGUAUUGCACUGAUUUUUUUGUCGCAGCGUUUCUCUAUGAAUUCCUUAAACUUUAAACACAUCAUGGAAUAAUUAUUUUCUUAAAGACCAAAUUAACAUAAUUCUUAAAUCAUUUAUAAAACAACAUUUAUCAUAUAACAGAUCGUACACGAAUCAAUUUUCCUUGAACAGUAGCAAACAAACAAGAAUCUCAACCACAUCACGAGAUCGCCCACGUCAAACCAAGUAUUCUUAAUGAGUGGACCAGCUAAUAUAUUCAAAAUUGGAAUUAAUUGAGGAUAAUGAUUAGUGCUAAUACAUUUGCAAAGAAAAAUCAUGCCUAUUGAAAAACUCAUCUUAUUAGCAGCAGCGUUAUAAGUAGCAUCCAAUCAUAGUUUCACGCAAGAUUUUGAGAUUAUUCAAAUGCUGAUCCCGGGAAUGGAGAUUAAUAGAUAAUGGAGACAGGUUGACUGCAAUGGCUAAUUGUAAGAGGGAUUUUUAGCCGUAAAAACAGAUCAACUAGCAAAGCAAAUUCCAAAUCUUGGAAUGCAGUAGCAAAAAAACGAAACAAACAAAUGGCAAGAGGAAGUGACUAUACAACAAUAACAUCGACUUGCAAUUCAACAUUUAUACAGUUUUACACACCAAGAAAAGAAAAAAUUACAAUAGAAAUUUGGCCACUAAAAGAUGCUCGUUCAUGCUUAUGCCUGUCAUAUGGAUUUGAAACAUGGAGUAAAAGCAUUUAGAGUGGCCUCAUCCUUCCACUGCAGCUCAUUCCACCAGUAUUGCUCUCCCCUAAUAACAAGUUUUCGUUCCUUGGCGCUGUUGUAAUCGAGUGGAAGCUUCUUGAGAUUCGGGCAGCCAGAUACAAACAAUUCCAAGAGAUUUGGAAAGGGCAAUGCAUUCAAACAGAUCUUCUUCAGAUUUCUUACAACUUGCAACCGAAGAUAUUGGAGUUUCGAAAAAGUUUUUUGCACUGGAACUUCUGGAACUUCUUCCAAUUUCCAAACACUGAUUAUUUCUUCCAUCUCAUAACAACGUUCUACAUGGACCAUCUUGAGAUUUGGGGCAAAAACAAGCCAUGUCAUCUCCCUCAAUUUACUGCAAUAGUCUAUGGUAACACUUUGAAGGCUGUUGAAACCAUAAAGUUCUCUUGUUGUUUGAAUUUCUGCAUAGUCAACCUUUAGCUCUUCCAAACUUGUACAAUACACAAAAUCUAGUUUGUCAAGAUACUUGAGAUCUGCUAUGGACAAAAUAUUCCAUGACCUUGAAUCCUCACAGCGGCGAAGCUCUAAAGCAUAUUUACAACUCUUGUACUGUUGGCAGCUCAAAAGUCUUCGUAGAGCAUAAAAACUUCUUAACGUGACGCUUAAUACAUUUAAAUGUUCCAAAGUAAUCAACUCCUCUACCAAAAUUUCACUACCACCAAAUAGAACGCUAUCUUCUGGUACUGUAUUAGCAGAGCCACAAUCUAGCAUCCUCAACACCUUUAACCCAGAAAAAUUACAAAGCAGUUGCCGUGGAAUCGUAUGGAGAUAACGCAUGUACUCCAAGUUCAAACACUUUAGAUUUUUCAAGGCUUUUAAUUCAUGUGGCAACUCUUUGAUGAAAGUUUCUGAAAGAUUAAGAUAUUGUAGUGAAACCAAUUUUGAAAUUCCUGAAGGCAAUUGACUCAAGGAGCGAUUCUUUGAUAGGUUUAAAACUUUAAGAGAAGGCAUAAAAUCGAAGAAAUCACUAGGGAUAGUAUCUAACAUAUUAAUGCCGAGGAACAAAGUUAUAAGAUGAGGGCAUAUUGGAGUUAUUGGUAAAAUCACAAUUUUAUUUCUCAUCAACGAUAUCCUUCUCUUAUCUUCCCAUUGUUUAACUUCGGGUGGUUCAGUUAAUUCAAUACCGGCAGAAACCAAAAAGUUUUCAUUCUCCACUUCACAGGCUAUCCACAAGGUCAUAUCACGAAUCACAUCAUGCAGUUUUACAUAAUCUGAUCCUGCUUCUUCCAAUAGGCAUGCAUGAACAAGAACACCAAUAAUGUAGUAUCCUUGGUUAUGUACUCCAUUAAUUCCUUCAUAUUCCUUCAGAAAACCCUCACCAAUCCAACACCCUAUCAAUUCAAUUUUGCUAAUUUGAUAAUCCUCAGGAAAUAAACUACAGUAUAACAGACAAGAUCUAAGGACGUCACUAGACAAACUAUCAUAACUGAAUUUUAAAAGACGAAACACCUCUUUCUCCAUACCUGGAAAUUCAUAAGCUGAUCUCCUUAACAUCUGAAUUGCAUAGCUCCAUUCUUCGGGUGUCUUCUUGCUGCUCAUGGCACGACCGGUGGUAAUAAGUGCAAGUGGCAAACCACUACACUCCUUUGCCACAGUUUGGGCUAACUCCGGAAUAUCGGGAUGACUUUCAAGAGUCUCUUCUCCGACCUUCUUUAGGAACAAUUCCCAAGCAUCUUGAUCUGCCAAACACUCCACCUUGAACUUUUUUUGAGCUUCCAUGAGGCCACAGACGUCCACAAGACGAGUUGUAAAGACUAUCUUUGAUGCAUUUCUUGAACUCGCAGGAAAAGGGACACCCACUUUGGCUAAAUCAAUUCUUUCCCAUAUAUCAUCUAACAAUAGCAGAAAUUUCAUUUUGCUCAAUAAAUUGAAUAUGCCUGAUGCUUUCUCUUCAAAGCUUCUAUUCUGAAGCCAUCCUAUUCUUUCUCCGAUUUUCUGUUGUAUUCUCUCAAGUUGCAUGUCUUUUGACACCACCACCCAAAUCACAAUAUCAAAAUAAUUUGGUGUAUUAAGGAACCUGUUGUUGAUUUGGGUUAAUAGUGUAGUCUUGCCGACUCCCCCCAUGCCAUAAAGUCCGAUGAUUCCAAAUUGUCCUUCUACAAGACAUCUCCAAACUUUAUCAAAUGUUGAUUCUAGGCCGAUUAUUGUUGGCUGAAGAGGCCUUUCAUCCACUGCUGGUUGUGGUACCUUUUCAGCUACCACUGCAAAAGCUCCAUCAUCUAUUAAAGUAGCCACAAGCUGCAGCUUUUUAGACACCUUUUUCCCAAACUUGUAGCUUGACUUGCAGUUCUUGGAGCAGUAGCCUCCAAGACAUAGUUUUUCAAUUUCUUGAGAGCUGUCCCUUGUCAAUUCACCUACUUCAGCUUCCACAGCCUCCACCCUUGAAAGCCAACCUUGCACUCUGUUCAGCCGUCUUAGUUGUUGUUGCUCAGCAUUAGCGACCCUCAUCAUCGCAUCGUUCUUUGUUUCGAUUAGUUUCUGCAAUUCGGUCUGGACGGCAACCAGGUUAUUUUCAAGCUGGCUUAGAUAUGCUGCUUUUCUGCGGGUACAAUUUAUGAAGCCAGCGGAAAGGGCAUCACAUAUAAGUUGGAUUCCCAAAAUAUUACCCAUAGUUUGUAUGAGAUUCAGAGUACAAUAGAAGGAAUGCAACACAGUAUGUAUUCGGUUGUGGUGUUUAUGAUUUUACAGUCGCAGAAGCUUAUUCACCUUGUGAGGGCUGGUCAGGUGGGCACCAUCACUCUCCUUACGCUUUAUAGAGAGCGAUAGUCCAUGUGGUCAGAUCUCAUUCAGAUAACUAGCCAAGUGGGCAAUCGCUCCACCUUAUCAAAAUUCUUCAUCUUAUAAUAAUAUCAUGAGUAGGCCUUGAAUUUUUCUUUUAAUUUUAACAUUUAAAAGGUGGUGGUGAAAAAGUCUAAAUAGUAUUUUUGUCCUCGUACUUUAAUAACAUUUCUUGAAAGUCACUCGAUCUCAAAAUUUAAUUAAGAAGAUAUUAUAGAUUUAUAAGCCCUUAAAAUUUAUUUGCAAGUAAGCCCAUAAGACUUACUAAAAGUCGUCAACUCGUCAUGACCAAAAUUGAAAAUUCUUCCGCGUGUGAAAUACGGCAUGCACAGACGUAUUAAAAGCAAAGGCCAGCUAUGAUAUUCUUCGUAUACUUGCAUUCCCUAUCAUCUUAUUAAUAAUUUCAGACACGUAGUUCGUUGCUUGUGAUUUUUCAUAUGCAAAAGCACAGUCAGUGUUACAAUUUACAAUUACAAUUGGGUGCCAUCUAUAUACUCCUUCCUUGUUUUCAAAAUAUGUUGUAGGAUGGGUAAUUGUAACAAAAGUGAUUUUUAAAAAGAUUUAUUAUAAUAUUAAAAUUAACUUUUAAUUUUUUUAAAUUAUUUUUGAGCUUUCUGAAAAAAAAAUCCUAAACCGGUCUCAGAAGUAUAAUUAGAACCACGAAUUUAUAAAAUGAUCAAAGGAAUCCAUCGCCUAAUAUUAUAGUACGCAAUGGAUUGCUAUAAACUAAAUUGCUAUGAUCUCACUUCAUAAUAAUUUAUUUUCAAUCUCCAUCAUGGUAGAAAAAUUUCAUCAAUCAACAUACCCUACCACCACCCAAUAGUCGACCAUUUAUCAUCUUCUAUCCGUAAAAAAACGAAAAAAAAAAAAGAGAAAAGGAAAAAUUUAGUCCACAAAAGAAAAUAUCGCAAGACCAAACAGAGAGAGAAAAUAGAAAAAGCAAAGAGCUGUACUGAAUACCGGCGGUGAUGGCUCGGUACUUGACCAUUUAGGUUUGAUUCUGCAUUAACAUAAUAUUUUUUCUGCACUGCAUUCACAUCACAACCAUUGAAUAGUCGUGAUCUAUUUUUCUAAAGCGAAUAAUAUUAUCUUCUCGUGUCGGUGGCUUGAUCAUAUAACAAAAUAGACUAAUAAUGUUUCAAUAGACAUUUUGGUAAAUGGAAGAAGUUAUGAUCUGUCCAUUUUUAUGUUACUUUAUUUUAAUUUGUUAAUUACUAUUAAUAUCUUUGAGUGGGGCAGAAUCUUGACCUAAGAUAUAGGGAUGGCAAUGGGGCAUAUAUGGGUUGGAUUUACUCUGCUCCAUAUCCAAAUCCAUAAUAAAAAUUAAGAUCCGUAUCUGCUCCAGAUCCGUCAUGAAUCCAUAUUUUUCGGUCCAUAUUCAGAUCCAAAAAAGAAAUAAAUAUCUAUAUCUACUCCAAAUCUGAAAAAAAUUAAAAUCCAAAUCUGCUCUAAAUCUGUCAUGAAUUCUAAAAUUCAGUAAUAAAAAAUUAAUAAUUUUUUAGAUUGAAAAUUGAAGGCUAAAAUGUAUUGAUAACAAAUAAAUUAUAUAAUUUUUCUCAAAAAUAUAAUAAAUAUUGUAUCUUAUACUUUUUCACCAAAACAACAAAUAAGAAAGAUAAUAAAAUAUCAUUUAGAAGUAAUUGCAGGAGUAAGAUCAAUCUAAUAUUAUAUUGUCUCCUUCAUCAUUCUAAUAUCCACGAUACACCUACCCUCAUUCCUACAACAUUAGAUAAUGACAUAUAAAUUAAAUAUGAUUUAUAUUCAGUCCUUUAUUAUUUUUAUUAUGACCAUAUUUGACUAAAUAUAUGAAUAACUAUAUUUCUUAAAAAUUAUUUGGCCAAUAUAAUAAAAUAAAUUGCCAAGUUAUAUUACUUGGCUUACAAUUUAAAUAUUGCAUGUACAUGCUUUGGGGUUGGCUGGCCUUUAAAUUUACAAAACUAACUUUUAAGUUUUAAGAGUUUAAAUGCAUGGUAAAUACUACUAAUAUGCUAUGAAUAAAAUUUAUUAUCAUUAUAAUUCCACAAUUGUUAAGAAACUUUUAAAAUAAAAUAAAAUUAAAAGAUGAGUGGAUAUGGAUAUGGAUUUAGAUAUUAAGAUAGAUCCAAAUCUGCUCCAGAUCCGUCUUAGAUCCGCACAUCGAUAUCCAAAUCCGAUCCAAAUCUAUUUUAAACCGAUCCAAAUCCGAUCCGAUUGGAUUUGGAUCACGUGGAUCUUGGAUCAGAUCCAAUCCAUUGCCAUCCCUACUAAGAUAUGACUAGGCUCCACAUGUUAUAUAUUAAUUUGAUUAAGCCCAGCUAAUUGUUAAUUAUUAAUUUGAUUGCGGCUUUUUAUUUUACCCACAUUUUUUACGCGUGAAAUCUUUCUUAGUGAAAAACUACACGUAUUUGCAAAUAUUCGGAAUGGACAUUUUCGAAAAAACAAGUAAAAGAAAAUGACUAAAAAGUAAAAGAAAAUAGACACCCAAUUGUAAUUACGAGUACAAUAGAAGGAAUGCAACACAAUACCGAUUUUGCAGUCGCUGAAGCUUAUUCACCCUAUGAGGGCUGAUCAGGUGGGGGCCGUCGCUCUCCUUACACUCUUAUAGAGAGUUAUAGUCCAUGAUCUCAUUGAGAGAACCAGCCAAGUGGGCAAUCGCUCCACCUGAUCAAAAUUCUUCAUCUUAUAAUAAUACCUUGAGUAGGCCUUCAAUUUUUUUUUUCAAUUUUAAUCUUUAAAAGGUAGAAGAGGUGAAAAAGUUAAAUAAUAUUUUUGUCCUCCUAUAUAACAUUUUUUGAAAAUCACUCGUUCUUAAAACUUAAUUAAGAAAAUAUUAUAGAUUUUUAAGUUAGUGGCCCUUAAAAUUUAUUUGCAAGUAACAAUUAGAGAAAAGUCGUCAUGCCCAAAUGACUUACUAAAAGUCUGCAACUCGUCAUGACCAAACAUCUUCCGAGUGUCAAAUACGGCAUGCGCAGAUGCACUAAAAACAAAGGCCAGCUAUGAUAAUCUUUGUAGUAUUAAUAAUUUCAGACGCGUCGUUCGUUGCCUGUGACUUUUCAUAUGCAAAAGCGGAGUCAGUGUUACUUGCAUUCACUGUCACCUUAUUAAUAAUUUCAGACACAUCGUUGGUUGCCUGUGAUUUUCAUAUUCAAAAGCACAGUCAGAAUUACAAUUUACAUUUGGAAUUGAGUGCCAUCUAUUUAUUCCAGCUAAAUCUAAAAUGAUGUUGCAGUAUUGCACUGAUUUUUUAGUCACAGCGUUUCUCUAUGAAUUCCUUAAACUUUAGACCCAUCAUAGAAUAAUUAUUUUCUUAAAGACCAAAUUAACAUAAUUCUUAAAUCAUUUAUAAAACAACAUUUAUCAGAUAACAGAUUGUACAUGAAUAAAUUUACCUUGAACCGUAGCAAACAAACAAGAAUCUCAACAACAUCAAUAUCAUAAUCCCUUCUGACCUUAACAGUAAUUUUAUUCGUCCUUAAUUCAUAGGUAUAAGUAUCCCAAUAUAUACUUGAUGUCAACCUUUACAAUUCUUUACAGAAUUGCAGCAGACCAAAUUUGUAUGCAAAACUGAAAUCAUACAGUAAUUGAAUACAGUGAAAAUAGACAUGAUGGGAAUUAGUAUAUAUAAAUAUCUUAAUAAUUUAAAAGUUUCUUAAACUGAUUUUACAUAUCUGAAAAAUUAUAGAAAUCGGAACUGCUGCAGAAAUCAUAAUUUUCCAGCGAAUGUGUUACAACUUCAGAAACUCAUAAGAAAUUAAAUUCUUGGGAUCACAAAAUAAUUCAUCAAUUUAAGAGAUUCAGCAGUACUUUUAUUACAUCAAUUCUUCAAACAAUCACCAAUCUAACAUUCAUCAAAAUUAAGUCAUAAAAGUCAUGUGGUUUAUAAAAAGAAUUACCUGAAAAAGAUUAGCCUUCCCCUUUCAAAAGCAACGAGAAACUCCAAAAACUCUUCUUCCAUUGCCUAUUCAAACAUGAAAAAAAAAAAUUAGUAUCUCUUCUUUAAACGCGCGAUGAGUGUGCUCUGUUUUCUCUGUUCUUUUUCUUUUUUAGAUUUCGAAAACGUAAAGAGUGUUGGAGUCUUUAUUUUCUAAAAACAAGACUUUUCCAUGUAUUCAGUUAAAUUAAAUUAUGUCCUAAUGCUAUGUCAGUUCCAUCAUUAGCAUUUUUUUUUUCCUUUUAACACCAACAUUAGCGUAUGUUAAGUAUCAUAAUCCAUAGUUGGACAAUUUGAAAUCUCUUCGUGUAGUUGACUGGCAACAACUAUAUUGGCAUUUAGACAUAAUGUACUGCAACCAUAUUGACAUGUUCAAAUGUUCUCACUAUUGUAUUGGUGUGUCGAUAUUAUCUCUAUCAGUCCUAUAGAUCCAAAAAUAAUCUAAAUUUACAAUUUAACUUAAAAUAAAAUAAUUGGUAGAAAACAAUUAUGGUUCAUUUACUUAUCAGUAAUUAAAAUAGACUGAAAUUAGAAUGAGUUGUAUUGACGUUGAUGUGUUUCUGUUGUCCUCGAAUCGGAAUGAAUUAUUUUAACUUACUAAAAUACCCUUUGUUUGUUAUUCUAAUUAUUAUUAUUUAAUAUUUAUUAUAAUAUUUGUCAUAUUAUUAAAAAGAAAUAAUAAUGAUGAUAAUAUUAUCAUUAUUGUUUGUUAUAUUAUUAUUAUUCAAAAAAAUUGUUGUUAAUAACUAUAAUAACUUUAUUUCAAUAAUAAAAAUGAUAAAAUUAAUAAUAACAAACAUGACAACAACAAUAAUUAUUUAUUAUGCCAAAAAAUAACAAUAAUGAUAAGAAUAAUAAUCAUCAUCAUUUUUUUCCCAAAGAAGCAUUAUCAUCAUCAUUUCAAAAAAAAAAAUCAUCAUCAUCAGCAUUUUUGUAGUGGCUGCCUAUCGGCUGCUGCUUUCAUGUGAGAUUGACUUGCGACGCUUCAACUACUAUUAUUUCUGGCAAUGUCAGGUGUUGUUGUUUCAAUCUGGGGAGAAGCUGUUUCGGUGAGCUAACAAUGGGAGGUGUUGCUGCUCGAUGCGAGGUCCAUGGCCAGCUGUCUUGUUUUACACCCAGCUCUUGUAGGAAAUUAUUCAUCCACAAUAUUUCUUUGUAACCUUCAAUAAUUGUAAUAUCAUUUGCUUCCGUGGUAGAAAAGACAACUCAUUACUAAAGUCUAGAUUGCGAUGAGACUGCCUUCCCUACAAAAGUGAGCAAAUAUCCUCAUAGGAAUCUUUCAGAAUCAACAUCUCUUGCCAUAUCUGUUAAGAAUAACAUAUGCUGAGUCAGCUACUGAGUCAUCAAGCCACGCUGGAAGUCAGUUUUGCAGUUAGUUAGAGAGCUUAUCAGCUUCUCUCCAAAAGUUUGUUAUGUGUAUUAGAAUAUGUGCUCACGAGUUUUGUGAGUUUGUAACCUUGAAAAGAUUCUCACACUACUAUAAAUUGUAUUGUGACUCAAUUAAUAAAAGUUGUUGAAGCUUUGCAUUUUCUCUCAGUCAAAAUUUUCUCUCUAUUUUUCUAAGUAACCAAACAAAAUCUACAGAGCAUUUUGUAUUUUAACUUGGUAUCAGAGCUUGAAUCCAAUGGCCUUAAUCGGUUCCAAUCAACAGUCGAGCAACACUUCCAUAACUUCUUUCACCUUCACAAAUCCAAUUAAGCUUGAUCGUGCAAACUAUACGAUCUGGAAACAGCAAGUACUUUCUUCAAUUCGUGGCAAUGGUCUUGAAGGCUAUAUUGAUGGAUCAAGGAUCUGUCCUAGUCAAUUUCUUUCUCCAGAGGCUAGAUCUGAAGGUUCUUCUUCUUCUAACAUCGAAGGUCAAGAGAAUCCAGAGUAUGCAGCCUGGAGACGUCAAGAUCAGCUCCUGCUCAGCUGGAUUCUGUCGUCCAUGAAUGUAGAUAUUCUCAGUCUUGUGGUAAGCUCUAAGACUUCUUUUGAGUUGUGGAAAAAUCUAGAAAAACAAUUUGGAUAUGAAUUUAUGGCUAAGAAGGUUCAUCUGAAAAUGCUUUUGAGUAACCUGCGAAAAGGAUCUCUAACCAUGUCUGAGUAUUUUACAAAGCUUAAGUCAGUUACAGAUGGUCUUGCUUUAGUUGGUAGCCCUGUGCAUGAUUUGGAUUUAAUCACUCAUCUUAUUACUGGUCUAGAUCAGUCAUAUUAUCCUGUAGUAGUCUAUAUUGAGGCAAACAUGUUGAAAAUGGAUCUUAGUGAGGCUUAUGCUAUGCUUCUCACACAUGAGGCUAGACUUGAGAAUAAUAAGCUUCAUGAUAGUAAAGAAACCAAGAACAAUUAUGCAACAAAUGUAGCUCAGGUUGGAAAUUUUUCAAAGAAAGGUAAUAACAAUAAUCAAAACAACUGGAAGGAUGGAGGAAACAAUUGGAAUAAUAACUCUGGUGGAAGAGGUGGUUACCAAGGGUUCAAUCCAGGAAGAGGAAACUGGAAUAAUAAUAAUUUCAGAGGUGUUGCUGGUGGAUUUAACAGUGGAUUUCCUGGUCUCGUGGCUUCAAUAACAAUUAUGGCAGAGGUGGUUUCAACUCAGGCCAAAAUUUGGUGGUUGUUGAAGCCAACAAAAAUAAAUUCCUACUCUAAAUAAAUUGUGUAUAGUGAUUGAGCAGGGUCGUGUCCACAGAGAUCGGUAAUUAUUUAAAUCCUUUUGAAACGUAAAACGCAAAAUGGGGGAAUUGUUGACAAUAAUAAAAAUCAAAUUAAAGUAACAAGAAUGCAAAUUAAAGUUGUAAUUCAAAUUGGAGAAAGCUCUGGUUGAAGGAAUUAACUCAGCUUGAUUCGACUACUGAUCAUUGAUUCAAAUAUAGAUUAUUAUUACUCAUGAAUAGACCGGUUAUAGCUACUGAGACCCUCUAAUAGCCAAUCUCUCCUUAACUAGUCGAUAACCAAGGUACGACCGUUGGUUAUUUCCCUAAUCAAUAGACAACCCUAGAUACGAUCAUAGAAUUUAAUCAAUUGACAGCCUGAAAAACCAGAGAGACCCAAAUCCUAAUCAACACAUAUGAUGAUUCAUUUAAAUUAGAUUGUUUAUUCUCACAACACAACUCUCUGCUAUGUUAUUUGUCACAAGCAUUAAAUUCUUCAUACGAUGAAUCCUUUAAUUGACAAUAGAUUAAGUUGAUAAUUAAAUAGUGGCCAAUUACCUAAUUAACAAACAUAAUCAUGAAACUAAUUCAGAGAAUAAACAAAUACCCAAAAAGCAAUAAAACAAUUAAAGCACAAGAAAGAUCUCAUAGUAGUGAUGAAUCAAAGCUUCAUUAACCUUCAACCAGAAAAAUAAGUUUAGUUCUUCAUAGAGAGAAGAGAAAAAUUAAAUCUAGGGUUUCUUUCUUUUUUUUUUUUCCAAUCCAAAAAAUCCCCCUUUUUCACAAUAGAUUCCUCCCUUAAAUACUCUCUCUCUCUUCUCCUCUAGAAUUUUAUUUAAAAUAAAAUACUAAUAUCUGAAAUAUUAAAUUCGUAAUUACAAAAAUAACCAAAAAUACAAAACACGUUAAACUAAAAACUGCAGGUCCGCAGUUGACAGCACGCGCCCACGCCUUAUCAAUAAAGUUCUUCUGACGCUCAUAAUUUCUCCAAGAGAACAAUCAUCCUUAAACAUCAUCUUAUAGCUCAAUUUUAUCACCAACCAAUAGAAUUGCACCUACAAAAGUAAAUCACUAUUAUUAAGUGCAAAACAUCGAUAUUAAAAGAAGUAAACAAUGCAAAACUAGUGCAUAAAUUGCACUCUAACAGAGGUGCUGGAAAGAAUUUUGCUCAGGGAACUGGUGCUGCUUGUCAGAUAUGCUUCAGGUUUAAUCACACAGCAGCUGAUUGCAGAAACAGGUUCAACAGAAAUUUUAUCCCAAAUUUUCCAGCUCCAGCUCCAAAUUACUUCUCUAAUCAGCACCAAGGACCAAGAGCAGCCUUCAUAACAACAUCUGAAGGAGCUGCUGAUCAGGGAUGGUUUCUGGAUAGUGGUGCAACUCACCACUUAACCAACACAGUUCAGAAUCUGAGUGAUGGUAAGAUCUAUUUUGACUCAAACUUACUUACUGUUGGUAAUGGCCAAGGUUUUAGAAUUACUCACAUAGGUUAUACACAACUUCACACUUCUUUUGGCACCUGCUUACAACUACAGAAUAUUUUGUGUGUUCCUCAAAUUACCAAGAACCUCAUUAGUAUUUCCAAACUCCUCACUGAUAAUGAUAUAAUCAUUGAAUUUUUCUCUGAUGUUUGCUUUCUAAAGGACAAGGUGAAGGGCACUCUGUUGGCUUAGGGGAUUGCUAGAGAUGGCCUAUACAAGCUACUGUCAAAAAAGGAAUCUCUCUCUUCUUCCACUUCUGUUCUGCCAGUGUCUCAUCCUAGUUCUAUGAUGUCAACUCUUUCCUGCAAUAAUGUAAUUACUUCUGUUCAAAGUUCAAAUAAUGACUUCUGUUUUAAGUUUACAUUUCCUGUAAGCUUUCAAACUUCAAUUUCUGUGUCAGCAAAUAUAUUGCACAAUAGACUUGGUCAUCCAAGUAAGCAUGUCAUACAAACUAUUCUCAGAAACAAUUGUUUAAUGUCAGCCAAUGUUAAUAAAUCAAAUUUUCUUUUCUGUGAUGCCUGUCAACUUGGAAAGUUACAUCAAUUACACUUUCCCGCUACUAAAAUCAAAACAAAAUAUCCCUUAGAAUUAAUACACACAUACUUAUGGGGACCAGCUCCAGUUUUAUCACUAGAUGGUUAUAGAUACUAUAUUUCCUUUGUUGAUGACUUCACCCGAUAUUGUUGGAUCUUUCCCUUAGUUUUAAAAUCUGAUGCCCUUACUACUUUCAAAAACUUCAAGAGCUUAGUUGAGAAACAAUUCAAUCUGCCCAUCAGAAUUUUACAGUCUGAUAUGGGAGGUGAAUUCAAAGCUUUUCAGUCAUUUCUUCAACAAUAAGGUAUCCAAGCUAGAUUUAGUUGUCCCUAUACUCACCAUCAAAAUGGUGUUGUUGAGAGAAAACAUAGACACUUAGUAGAAACUGGAUUAACACUCCUUGCUCAAGCAAAAAUGCCUAUUUCUUUCUGGUGGGAGGCUUUCCAUACAACCUCUUAUCUCAUUAAUAGAAUGCCUACCACUACACUGAACAACUUAUCUCCCUAUCAAAAGCUUCAUAAUCAGCCACCAAACUAUCAACUUCUCAGAGUUUUUGGUUGUGCUUGCUAUCCUUUUCCCAGGCCUUAUAAUGACCACAAGCUUGAUUUUCAUUCCCAAAAAUGCUUGUUUUUAGGUUACAGCCCUCUUCACAAAGGAUAUAAGUGUCUAACAAAGUCAAGCAAAGUAUAUGUUGCUGUUCAUAUUAUUUUUAAUGAGUCUGAUUUUCCCUAUUCAGAGUUGUUCGCUUCAUCUGAAUCUUCUUCCAAUUCUCUGUCAUCAUACUCUCCAUCUAUUUGUAUCCUCAAUGACAGUGGCUUGCAUCAGUCAUCAGCUAUAUCUCCUGCUUUAGCAGAGUUACCAACUCACAUUCACCUCAACAUCCUCACCAAGCCCCACACUCUCCUUGUCCCUCUCCAGUCUCAAAUUCCUACGGCUCAUCAUCACCACAUUCUUCAUCACAUAAUGCUUUAGCCAAUCCCUCUGAUGAAUUACAACCAUCAUCUCAACCUGUCAUUUCAACUCAUCAGAUGGUUACUCGAGCCAAAUCUAGUAUUUUUAAACCAAAGACCUACCUUACAGCUACCGAAGACCUUGAACCAGUGAGUGUUAAAGCAGCCCUGAUUGAUACAAAGUGGAAAAUGGCUAUGCAAGAAGAGUAUAAUGCUUUGCAGAAGAAUGACACCUGGACAUUAGUUCCAGCUGAAACCGCUACAAAACUCGUUGGAAAUAAGUGGGUUUUUAGAGUUAAAUAUAACCCAGAUGGUAGCAUUUCCAAGUAUAAGGCUCGGUUGGUUGCAAAAGGUUUUCAUCAAACUUAUGGAGUAGAUUUCUUUGAAACCUUUAGUCUAGUUGUUAAACCCUACACUGUUCGUAUUGUUCUCAGCUUAGCAGUCAUGCAUUGUUGGCCAGUUCGGCAAUUGGAUGUUAACAAUGCCUUUCUUAAUGGCAUGCUUACUGAAAAUGUGUUUAUGCCUCAGCCAGAAGGCUUUAUCAGCUCUCAGUUUCUCAAUCAUGUCUGCAAAUUACAAAAAGCCAUUUAUGGUCUUAAGCAGGCUCCAAGGGCUUUGUAUGAUAGAUUGAAAGGGUCUUUAGUUCGGUGGGGUUUCAGAUCUUCAAAGUCAGAUACUUCACUGUUUUUCAAGCAUAUUGGCAAUAAUGUUCUCAUCAUCCUUGUUUAUGUAGAUGAUAUCCUGAUAACAGGCUCUAGUGCUGUUUAUAUUUCAGAGGUUAUCAGUCUACUUAGCUCAGAAUUUGCACUUAAAGAUUUAGGAGAUUUUAACUACUUUCUUGGGGUAGAAGUGACUCCAUCUGCUGAAGGAUUACAUCUAUCUCAAACUAAGUAUGUUGGUGACAUCUUAAGAAAAGCUCAUAUGCUUGAGAGUAAAGGCUGCAAUACACCUAUCAGUAUUGUUGAUAAGUUGCAGAAGGACAAAGGUUGCUCAUUUACAAAUCCCUCACUUUACAAAAGCAUCAUUGGUUCUCUGCAGUAUCUGACACUGACCAGACCAGAUAUCGCAUUCACUGUAAACAAAUUGAGUCAGUUUUUAGCUGCUCCAACUAUCUUGCAUUGGCAGGCUUGCAAGAGGGUAUUACGAUAUCUACAAAGCACAACACAUUUUGGACUGCAGUUCUUCAAGUCAGGUCCUCCAAGUCUCAUAGCAUAUUCUGAUGCAGAUUGGGGGUCUGAUCCAGAUGAUAGAAGAUCUGUUGGAGGGUAUUGUGUUUAUCUUGGAUCCAAUCUUGUGUCUUGGUCAUCUAAGAAACAGAACAUUGUUUCCAGGUCAUCUGCUGAAUCUGAGUAUAGAGCUUUGGCCUUAGCUACAUCUGAGGUUUUGUGGAUUACAUAUCUGUUGAAAGAGCUCAAAGUAUCACUUCCCAAACCUCUUGUUCUUUACUGUGACAACAACAGUGCAGAAGCUUUGGCUAGCAAUCCUAAGUAUCAUUCCAGAACUAAACAUAUAGAACUGGAUUUACAUUUUGUCAGAGAACACAUUGCCAACAAGGAUCUCUUCAUUGAACAUGUGUCUAGUUCUGAUAAGUUAGCUGAUGUGCUUACCAAACCUCUGAGUUUUGAUAAUUUUGCCUAUAUGCGAACUAAGCUCAAUGUCUGCCCACGACCUUGAGCUUACGGGGGCAUGUUAAGAAUAACAUAUGCUGAGUCAGCUGCUGAGUCAUCAAGCCACGCUGGAAGUCAGUUUUGCAGUUAGUUAGAGAGCUUAUCAGCUUCUCUCCAAAAGUUUGUUAUGUGUAUUAGAAUCUGUGCUCAUGAGUUUUGUGAGUUUGUAACCUUGAAAAGAUUCUCACACUACUAUAAAUUGUAUUGUGACUCAAUUAAUAAAAGUUGUUGAAGCGUUGCAUUUUCUCUCAGUCAAAAUUUUCUCUCUGUUUUUCUAAGUAACCAAACAAAAUCUACAGAGCAUUUUGUAUUUUAACUAUAUCUACACACUUAUAACACAAGUUUGUCACCACUAAAAUAUAAACAUGUUCUGUAAAUGCCUCUAAGAUAUCUGAGAAUUCAUUUCACUACUGUCCAGUGCUCUUUGUCCAGAUUGGAGAGAAACCGACUGACUACACUAACUGCGUAAACAAUACCUGGUCUUGUACAAAUCACGGCGUACACCAAACUGCCAACUGCUGAAGCAUAAGGAACUCCUCUCACGGAGAAAUGGGUUUUGCUCUUGAGAUCUUUGGGAACAUGAAGAAUAAAGAUGUAAUUUCUUGGACUGACAUUGUUUCGGGGUAUAUAAAUAGAGGACAAGUGGAUAUAGCUCGACAGUAUUUUGCUCAGAUACCAGAACGAGAUUAUGUCUUAUAGACUGCCAUGAUUGAUGGGUACCUUCGAGUGAAUAGGUUCAGAGAGGCUUUGACACUUUUCCGGGAGAUGCAAACUUCAAAUAUAAGGCCAGACGAGUUUACCAUUGUUAGGAUUCUUACAGUUUGUGCGAAUCUGGGGGCACUAGAACCGGGAGAAUGGAUAAAGACUUACAUUGACAAAAACAAGGUCAAGAAUGAUAUAUUUGUGGGGAAUGCUUUGAUAGACAUGUACUGUAAAUGCGGAGAUGUUGAGAAAGCUCAAAGGGUACUCAGGAAGAUGCUUCGAAAGGACAAAUUCACAUGGACGGCCAUGAUUGUUGGCCUUGCCAUCAGUGACCCAUUUCCUACGAUCAGACCGGAUAAGGUAACUUAUGUUGGUGUUCUGUCUGCCUGUACUCACAAUGGUAACGAAACUUUUGUGAUAAAUAGUUGCGACUUAAGGUGAGAAUUGGAGGAAACGAAAUAGACUGAAGUUGUUCAAUCAUCGGUGGUUGCUAUUUGAUUUUAAGUUGUUCAAUCAUCGGUCAUCUCUAUUUGGUUUUCUCCAAUAUCUCAUCUCCAGUUUUGACUCAGAUUCUGUCUUACCACUAGUAAUUAAAAGUGAGGAGGCAGCAGUCAAUGCUAUUUCGGCUUGGCCCAAAAUUUCACCAGUUUGUUAGUGUUCUGCAGCUCUUGCUGCUUUCCUAGAGAUUCUGCAUCUUUUGCAAUUUGAUUGAUUAAAAAAAAAAAAAUUAGUGGCCAUUUAGAAUGAAGGAGAGAUUUGUGUGAAUGGUAUAGGUGAAAAAUUGGAUGAAAAUAAACAGGCAACCGUCCGUAUAAAACAACAAUAACAAUAUACAAAAAGAUAAGUAGACACUUCUGUAAUUCACGAAAGGAAAUUUAUGGUUGUUUCUGAAAAACAUACAUAUUAAUUUCACUUAUACUCUAAGGUGGGAUAGAUGUCAACUAGCUAUGCUAAUGAUACCUUGCCAUCAUGACUGGACUUGUGAGGAAUUUGGAAACAUGUAUGAUGAUUGUUACUUACACAAUUGUAGAAAGAAAUGCUGAGGUGGCUUGAACCAGAUGGUGAAAUCGUCUAACACACUUAAUUGUUAGAUGUGUUUUGGAUAUUCACAGUUAGGUUGAAAUUUGUAGUUUUCACUUGAAAGAAUUCAGUUAAAAAUUGAUUGGUAGAAUUGUAAAAUAGUCUAAAUUUUUAGUUCAAACCCAUUGCAUAUUUAAGAACAUCUUAAAUGAAUUGCUUAUUGCUAUCAUCAUCAUUAUUGUCCAUAUAAUAAUAAUAAUAAUAAUAAUAAUAAUAAUAAUAAUAAUAAUAAUCAAUAGAAAUGUUAUCUUAUCCACUAUUUUAUAUAUGUUUCCACUAAAAUCUAUUUAAUUAUUCUUUAUUUUUUUUCAACUGUUGCAUGUUAGAUUUAUUCGAUUUCCUAAGUUAUAUCAAUAGAAAUGUUAUCUUAUCCAUAAAAAGUUAGAUCUAACAAUUAUGAAAAUUACUAUAGUGCUGCUUUGAAUAAUUUUUUAAAAAUACCACAAGUAAAUAAUAAUUAGUUUAAAUAGUGGAGACUAAAAAGCAUUCACCCUUAUUUUUUAUCUGUUAUUAGUUUUUUUUAAUCUGUUAUACAUUUGAAACAUUCCAUUAAUUGCCAAUUAUGUAAGCGAGAUAGUAAUUAAUUUUUUUUAUUUAAAAAAAGUGAAAAUUAAUCCUAUGCAAUGUGAAUAAAUUUCUUUCCUUUUUCCUUCACUCUUUUUAUUUGAUAAUUAAGUUUCAAUCUAUGUACGCAAAAUUUCUGCAACAGCUGCAAAACAUAAAAAUAUAUGAUUGUUAAGGGAAACACGCAGAAGUUCAUCACUUCAAUGUUCAGUAUUUCCAAUUUUGGCAUUAAGCUCUUACGAAUAUAUUCCACUUAGAAAGCAAAAUAUUAGAAUUGUGAUUUUAAUUCAUUCAUCAUAUCUCAUUUCAAUCCCAAAAUAUUCAAGUGGAUCCAAGUUACCAUAAGGCUUCAGAGGCUCGAGCCUUAGCCAGAGAUGGUUAAUUGAUAGACUAGGUAAGAGAAACCAAGGUUGAAGUAUGUAGAAAUGUUAUUUCAUUUAUUUUUAUUUAUGAUUUUUUGUAAAAUGUAAGAAAUAUGUAGAAAUGUUGCCAGCAAUGAUUUUGGAACUUUGCAUAAAAUUUUUAUCAUUAUUGUUUUUGGUAUUAAGAAAUCCGAGGCGGUGAUUAGACGUAUGUUGCAACAAUUAAGAAAUUUCUUAUUGGAGAUAAUUUGGUAGGUUGCAACAAUUAGAGAAUCAUUUUCCUGUCAGUUAAUCAAUCAAUAAUAAAUUUCAAAUUGCAGAAAAUAAAAUAAUACUGUCGCACUUAGAAUCAUCUUUUCUAUCUCUUUCAAUUGUGACAAUCAUUUGUAACAAAUAAAUCAAUUUGAUGCACAUCAUUUCCCCAAUUCAAAGUUCAAGUCACUGCUCAAUUGCAGAGUAGUUAGUAGACAUGCAUGCAUGUUUAAUUAAGUACUGCAUUGUAGUAUCGAAAAUCAUAACAUCUCACCAAGCCCGGAAGCAUAGCUCUUUAUCUUGUAAAUGUUGAAAUCUUAUGCAAACUAUGGGAACCAUGAGCUCACUCUCAGUGUCACUUGAUUCCAUUUUCUGUUCUUGCCUUGAUUUCGAUGUUGGGAAUGUGACGUCUGAGUCUAAGGUUGAAGAUAAUCUCGAUGCCUUGCGGACUGCAAUGGAAAUAAAAUAUUUGUGUGUUGAGAAAUGAUGAAAUGAUGCAAUGGAAAUAAAAUCUCAAUCUCUUGAGAAAUGAUGUGAUAAGAAGAGUUACUGUUGCUGAAGGACAACAUCAAAUGCAACGAAUGGAUCGAGUGCAGGGCUGGCUUUCAAGGGUAAAAUCUGUGGAAAAUAAAGCUGAUGAUUUGAUGAGACACAGCUCUCAAGAGAUUGAGAAGUUAUGCCUUGGAGGCUUCUGUUCCAGGAACUGCAAAUGAAGCUACAGCCGUGGGAUAGAAUUUGCAACAAUGCUACGAUUGUGGAGAGUUUAAUGGGUGAAGGAUCAUUUGAAUAGGUGGCUGAGAGGGUGCCAGAAGAUGCAGCAGAGGAGAUAAAUUGUGAGCCAACAAUAGUGGGCAUGUUGUCGACUUUUGAGAAAGCCUGGAGAUGCCUUGAAGAAGAAUCAGUUGGAAUUAUUGGCCUAUAUGUCAAUGGGGGAGUUGGAAAAUAUUUACUCAAAUCAACAACAAGUUCCUUGAUAGUCCAAAUAAUUUUGAUGUUGCGAUCUGGGUAAUGGUCUGCCAAGAUUUGCAACCCCAGAAGUUUCGGGAAAAGAUUGGGAAAAAGAAAGUCUUGUUCGAUGAGUACCGGAUUGAACUAUAUUAGAUUAUAUUUAAAUAAUAUUAAAUAGUAUUUAAGUUGGUAUUCUAAUAUAAAUAUCAAUUAUCCAUGAAAUUUUAUAAUCAUAAUUAAAAUAAAUUUAAAAAGCAAUUACUAGGAAAAUUAAAUAUAUUGCAAAAAGUUAUUGGGUAGUCAUAAUAUAAUAGGCAAAUAAAAUUAAAUAAAACAAAUUACAUAUUUAAUUAUAUUUAUCAAAUAUUUAAAAAUAUUAUAUAAAAUAUUAUAUAAAAUCAAUUAAUUAAUGAUAUUAUUAAUUUUCAUGAUUAUUUUUAAUAUUAUAUUACUGAUUAUUAAAUUUAAUACAAUCAAAUAAUGCAAUAAAUAAUUAAACAUUCAAUUUUAUUGAUUAAUUAUUAAAUAUACAAGUAAUGAAAAUUUUAUCUCAAGAGUUGGUAGAAGCGAAAGUACUAAUUUAAUUAGAUCAUAGAUAAUAAAUAAAAAUAAAUUUUAAGUAAAUCAUAAUAAAAAAUUAAUUAAUUAAUUCAAUCAAUCAAUAUUAGGUGUAAAUAAAAAAAUGAUAUAAAUAAAAAUCUCAUAAAUGUACAACUUUUAUCUUUAAUCUUAUCCUAAAAGAACAAAAAGCAGAAUAUAUAUUGAAGUGUUUUUCACACCUUUUCAUUAACUGGAAUGCAUGUAUUUAUAUACAUCAUUUGUAACUAAUAAAGAGAAAAUAAAGGAAACUAUACAUGAGAGUAUCAAGGAGAAUAAUGGAAGAGAUUGUUGUCCGUAACUUGUGGAGAGUAUCAUGGAGCUUGAGAUUAUCUGAUAUGCCCCCGCAAGAGGGUGUUGCCAUUGGCGACACCCAUCUUGAACCUUAAUUCAGAAAAUGGUCGCUUAGAGAGGGGCUUGGUUAGGCUAUCAGCAAGUUGAUCUGCUGUAGAUACAUAAGAUACGCGCAAUAGCCCUUUGUUGACCCAAUCACGAACAAAAUGAUAAGCAAGAUCAAUGUGUUUUACCCUUGAAUGAAAGACUGGAUUGCGACACAAAUAGGUAGUUCCAAUAUUAUCACAAUAGAUGGUAGGAGUUUGACUCAAUUGAAGGCCAAGUUCUUGAAGUAGAUUCUGAACCCAUCGAACUUCAGAGGCUGCAUUUGCGACAGCCAAGUACUCAGCUUCUGUUGUGGAACGAGCUAUUGAUUUUUGUUUGUUCGAGCGCCAUGAGAUAGGAUUGCCGCCUAGAUAAAGCAUAUAGGCUGAUGUAGAAGUAAUGAAAAUUUAAUCUCAAGAGUUGGUAGAAGCGAAAGUACUAAUUUAAUUAGAUCAUAGAUAAUAAAUAAAAAUAAAUUUUAAGUAAAUCAUAAUAAAAAAAUUAAUUAAUUGAUUCAUCAAUCAAUAUUAGGUGUAAAUAAAAAAAAUGAUACAAAUAAAAAUCUCAUAAAUGGACAACUUUUAUUUUUAAUCUUAUCCCAACUAAACACAUGUGUAAAUUAGGAUUAUUAAUUCCAUAAUUUUCGGAUUAAAUUCAAAUUUAUUCCCCCUUAAUCCAAUUCAACUAAACUUGUCAAACAUGGGAUAAAAAUUUAAUUAUAAAAUUAGUCCAAUUCCAUACUUAAUCCUAGCAUCCAAAUAUAGCUCAAGUUCUUUGCUUAAAGAAGCUACCAAAUUUGAAGAGCGUUUACGGGAAGGCCUUGCGUUUCCCAGAUGUAUGCAGAAUUUUUGUAUCUAAAUGCCCAGAACUUAAGAAGCUGACGCUGGAUUUUGAAAGGGCGGGCCAAGGUAAAAUUCUUAUCAAAUGAAAGGAAAAUCGAUGGAAACAACUUCAAUGGGAGGAUCAAGCAACUCAGGAUGCAUUGCUUCUGUUUUUCAAAUCAACUGACAAGUGAUUGAAGGGGGCAUCAUCAGCCUGGAUGGGGAGAUCCUGGAGCAGAUCAGCAGGGUUUGAAUCUGCAUCAUCAACAUCAUCAGGAUCUCUAUUUCUAUUGCUGGUCGUAAUGCCUGCCGACUGUUGCUUGAAAAAGUGAUUAAGUGAGCCAGUUUUUUGUUUAUUAAAUUUUGUUUUGUAGAGACAGUCACAAAGUAUUUUUCUUAGUUGUUCUAUAUGAGAGUGAUGUGAACCAAUUUUUCAAUUAUAUAUUCUGUGGGAAAUUGCAAGUAUUUUUAAAAUAUGAUCGUUAUUAAAGGAAACAAAGGAAUCAACACAGCAUACUGAACCUCAGCAGUAUGAAGCUAAUGAUUAAACUCCUCACACAAUUCAUAACAUGCAAAACCAUUCACAAAAUCAUCCACAGCAACCAUAAUUGGCGUCCAAUAGAAAUUUACAAGAAUUACUUUUCUGUUCAUGCAAUCGGCGUCUGAACGCGGCUGAUCGGUCACCGGUGUUGGCGUUUACUGUGAUUAGACAAAUUGUAGCACUUCAAAAAUAACUUCUAUAGGGGUAAUUUCGAUUUCACAUAAUUAAUUUUAUUUACAAUAUUUUAUUCCUGCAAGGUCAACUGAGAUUCUUUCCACCGGGCACACCCUUCAUGUUCUUUUAUUUUCUGUCUUUUAUUAGCCGUUGGAUUUUACUACUCUUAUAUCCAACGGCUUGCCACAACAAGACAAAUGAGGUGGUACCUUUCAACCGCUGAAAGGUAGUUUUGGCCCCAAGUGAAAGAGGGAAAUAGGGAAUUGAUGCUAUAUUUUAUAUUUUCUAUUUUACUACUCUUGUAUCCACCGGCCUUUCUUAUAUUUUAUUGCAAAUUGAUGCUAACAAGAAAAAGCUAGAUCAUAUUCCACAGAAAAGUGAGAAAACAACCAGAUGGAUUCUUUUAUUAAACUACAAAUUAAAAUGGUAUCACAAAUUCUCAUCAAUUUAUUUAAAUAUAUUCUUUUAACCCUCUUUUUAAUUUCACAAAUUCUCAUCAAUUUAUUUAAAUAUAUUCUUUUAACCGGAAACAAUUGAUAUCACUUAUUAAGAAUAACAAAAUUUACUAUUUAAAAAUGAAGAUCAAUAAAUUUUUAUCAAUCAUGAAAGUUAAUGAGUGUCAAGAAAUUAAUUUUUGCUAAACAUACAAGCUAAUAACUAUUAAAAAAAUCUUAUAUUAUAGAGAUCAUAUAUAUUAAGAAAGACCAAAAAAAAAAUUAAAAAAAUAGUUAAAUUCAGUGUAUAGUUUAUAGGAUGUGAGAGUGGUAAAAGAAUAUAUAAUUGUAAAAUAGAGAAAAAGAAAAAGAGAUUAGUAGAGAAUAAUUUUGAGAUUUUUUAAUUUUUAAUUUUUAAUAAUAAAUUUAUUUUAAAAAAUAGGUGUGGAGAAAAAUUUGAUGGGUUCAAGCAAUUCCACCUAAUUUUAUAUUAUCAAUACGCAAAUGAAAGUACAAAAAUACCUCUAAUAGAGUGAAAUAAAGAGUUCUCUAAUCUCUAGGGUUUCUCAUUCCAAUUUUGAAAUUUCCCUACUUUAUUUUGAAUUAACCCUCUUUGUUACCAUUGAAUUGUAACAUUCAAAAUUUGAAUAUGUUUUUACAAAUAGAAGAUUAUUGGGACAAAAACAAUAAGAAAUAGAAAACCUAGUUGAAAAAGGAUAUUACAAAAAAAGAAAUUGCCAUUACCAUUCAAACAUUUACACAGUAAAGGCAUUAACAGCAUAAGGCGGCAAUAAAACUUACUCAUAAUUAGGGGUGGCAAAAAAGUCCGAGCCGGCUUAGGCCCGGCCAAGCCCAGUCUAGAUCCGUGGACUUAAAGUCCGACCCGUAAGGAUGUGGGCUUAGAUAUAGACCUAAAAAUUACAAAACCCACAUAUAUUAGACCUAAACAAGAACUUAGCAAAAAAACCCAAACUUUCUAAAUUUAUGAAUAAAAAAUAAAUUUAAUUUAAAUAAAAAAAAUUAAAAUAUUAAAUUAAUUGAAUUUUUUAUAUUAAUAUUUAUUAUUUUAUUAAAUUAUAUUGUUAAUAUUUAAUGUAUUUGACUAUUAUUCUAUUUAUAUAUUAUAUUAUUAUUUUUAAUUUAAAUAUUUUUCUUAAUUUAAAAAAUUUUUAUAAUUAAUUUAAAAAGUUCAGGCCCAGCCCGAGUUCGGUCCAUCCAAAUUUAACGGAUUUUUGAAGAACCUGAACUUCGUUUGAAUGAUAUGGGUCCGGCCCAAGCCCGCAAAUUGCCAUCCCGUGAUAAUAACAAACAGAUAUGGCCCAGCCCGAGUUCGGUCCAUCCAAAUUUAACGGAUUUUUGAAGAACCUGAACUUCGUUUGAAUGAUAUGGGUCCGGCCCAAGCCCGCAAAUUGCCAUCCCGUGAUAAUAACAAACAGAUAUAGAUAGAUCGAUGGAUGGCAUUUUUUAAAUGUACCUUAAAAACCAAAACAAAAGCAAAAAUAUUAAAAUAUUACACCAACUGCUAACUAAUUAAUCUAAUAAAACGCCUCGCUUAAUCAUUUCCAGUCCACUAAACACGCUGAACGGAUUCCAGCCUCUGAAGUCUCAUCUCAUUGUUAAAUUCAUUGAUGAAAGCUUCAACUCGCCGAUUCAACUCAUCUUGACUCAUCGAUUCCUCCCUCCUCAGCGACGUUCUGUCACUGAACGUCUCAGAUUUCCUCAGCUCACGUUUCGCCCAAGCCGUCGGAUCAUUCUCAUCAUUAUCACUACCACAGGCGAUGGUGAUGAUGUGGAAGGUGGAAGAAGCGGCGAUGGUGAUGAUGAUGAUGAUGAUGAUGAUGAUGAUGAAGUUGACUAUGAUGUAAUUGUACGGCGGCGACAGCCAGAACCUCAAAGAAAUGAAGAGGCUAGGGAUUGUCGAUACCGUGAAACAAAUGUACGGGAUUAUUGCUACCUUAAACAGCAUGAAAGUUGAAACAAACCCGGCUGACAAAAAUAACAACUUUGCUACCCGCGUUACUGUCUCUAAUCUGCUUGAUUUUGGGUCGAAAUUUUGAAAAAGAUCCCCCAUUUUUCAAUUUUCACACACAAUAAAGAAGGAAAAAGAAAGGUAGCUAGAUUUUUUUUUUGUUUUUCAACAAGGGAAGAAAUAAGAAAAGAACAUUAAAAGGAUUUUUCAGGCUUUGAUGGUCAUUAAAAUGAGACCCAGGAAACCAUUGAAGCUAAAAAAAAAACGAGAAGCCAUGUAUUUAUAUAUGCUGCUUUGCUUUACAAAAUCUGACUGGCAUCAGGGUGAAAAAAAAGUGCCAUUUGUUGGUACAGAGAGACAGAGGAGAGUAGAGAGGCAGAUGCAGGGGCAGGGGCGAAGUCAAGGGACCAUUGAAUGGGCAAGCGAGGUUUCAAUUUAUGUAACGAGGGACGAUUAAAGUUCUUGCAACUUUCCUGCCGUCUGAUGAAAUCUUGACCGUUCGAUGGUACAAUAAUGGUUAUAAUGAUCUUGAAAGUGUUGGAGAGAUAAGUUUGUACAGAUUAUGUACGCUAAAUAAAAUCACAUUUAAAAUGGUUUUUGAUUUUAUUCUAUUACAGAUUACUUUUAUUAAAUAAAUGAAGGUACAUUGAGUGAGUGAGUGAGUGACUUCACGAUUUUGCACUAACGCCGCUGUGUUAUCCUCCGCGGCACUUGUCCUCAUCAUUUGUAAUUGAAAAGCUGAUUUAAGAUUUUAGAAUAGUGCCUUUUGGAAAAAAAAUAUAUAUAUAUAUCAACGGCCGAUUGAGAUUUCUUUUUUGAAGAUUUAAAAUUAAUUUUUUAAAAAAUUAAAAAUUAAUUUUAAUAUUUUAUAAGUUUUAAAAAAAUUAUUUUUAAUAAAAUCACUUCAUAGUAGAUUCCGGAAAGUAGAUAUCUAUGCUUUUUAAAUUUUAAUUUUAAGAAUUAAUUUUUUACUUAAUAUAAUCCUUGCAUAUAUUAUAAAAUUUUAAAAUCAUCUUCAUUAAUUACAAAAUAAGAUCAUUAAUUUUAAGGAGAUUAUAAUCAUUAUCAAUUAUAGGGAGAUUAAAUGCUUAAAGUGACAAGUGCAAAACUAUUUAAAAAUAGUCAGUAAAAGUAUAGGUGGGCAAUUAGUUCAAUUCUAUUUGAAUCAACUAAAUUAAAUUAUAUCGUGUUUCAUAAAUUUUUAAAGCAACUGAUUUUUUGUUUGGUUUAGAUAAAAAUUAAACUAAACCGAAAAAUCAAACGGUUCAAAGAAAAAAAAGUUAAAAACAAAUUUUAUAAACUGAUCGGUUUCCGUUAGAUUCAAUUCCAAAUCUAAACAAACCAAUCCAAAGUGAAAAUAAACAUUUUUGUUGAAUGCACUUUUAAUUUGUUUGGAUACGUCUCGACCCUCCAGUCUCUUGAUUAAAGUUCAUUUAUUAGGGUCCGCUUGUAAUACAGCGUCUGUAUCUCAUACAGUCAAAUUUAAUAUUUUAUUAAGAAAAAGGGCAACCGUUAGAUAGAAGUAGAUACAUCCAAUGGUUAAUAUCUGUGAUUACUCAUUUUGGUGACCGGAUAUGCCAAUUAUUAUUUCAUCAAUUAACUUACCUAAAAAAUCAUAGCCGUUGGAUUGAGAUGCCUCUCUCUCCCUCAAAAUAACAGCCUUCGUAUUCUCUCUGCUAUUGUUUUGUCCUACAUCUAGAAUUUUGGAUGAAUGAACUUGGUAUUCAAGAACAUUCACCACCCAUCACAGCAAAGAGCAAAGAUAUAGUCGAAGGAGUGCCAUUUAUUCAGGCUUACUUGAUCUGUCAGUCUCGCUUCAAUUCGUCACUCAUUUUCUUGCGCUCAGCUUCAAUCUAUCACUCUCAGCUUCAGUUCGUCACUCAUAGCUUCAAUUUUUUCACUGUCGUGAAUCAUCUCUCUUGCUGUAUCUCUCUCUUAUGUCUUCCAAUAAUUUCGGUGAGCUCUCUCUCUAAUUUAAUAUAUGAUUAAAAAUCUUAUCAUCUUAUCAUGUCAUUUAAAUAUGCUUGAAGUUUCAAUUUAGUUUAUGAAUAUUACUUGAAAUUUUAGAUUCAAUAAUUUUAGUUUUUUUUUUCUCUAUCAUCAAUCAUAUAUUUUUUCUUGCUCUUUAACUUCUUAUCUUCAACUAAAUGUGACCUUACAUUUAUUUAGUGUAUGAUCAAUUUUUAAAUGCACAAUAAGCAUUGCAAAGUUGGCGUUAUGCAAAGGCUAUCACAAUGUGAGCGUUCAAUUGGACAGAGUGUCAUGAUCAUACAUCCUUGAACCCAAUAUUUAUUCCAAUAACAAAUGUAGAUACGUAAACUACUUUUUUUUUUUAAAUAAAAAUAAAAAACUUCAAUGAAUCAAUCAAUUAUUUUCUGAAAUGUUAUGCGAAUUGUGAUUGUGAGAUUAAAAAAAAAUAUCCAUGCAAAUCAAAUUGUAACCGCCCUCUCAAGAUAAACCAAGUAACACAAAGCAUCAUUAACUCUUUCUUGUUUCAGCCACAGUACUAUUUUUUGCUUGAUGAGAAUAUAUUUAAAUAGUAUUUAAGUUGGUAUUUUAAUAUAAAUAUCAAUUAUCCAUGAAAUUUUAUAAUCAUAAUUAAAAUAAAUUUAAAAAGCAAUUACUAGGAAAAUUAAAUAUAUUGCAAAAAGUCAUUGGGUAGUCAUAAUAUAAUAAGCAAAACAAAUUAAAUAUUUAAUUAUUUUUAUCAAAUAUUUAAAAAUAUUAUAUAAAAUCAAUUAAUUAAUGGUAUUAUUAAUUUUCAUGAUUAUUUUUAAUAUUAUAUUAGUGAUUAUUAAAUUUAAUACAAUCAAAUAAUGGAAUAAAUAAUUAAAUGUUUAAUUUUAUUGAUUAAUUAUUAAAUAUACAAGUAAUGAAAAUUUAAUCUCAAGAGUUGGUAGAAGCGAAAGUACUAAUUUAAUUAGAUUAUAGAUAAUAAAUAUAAAUAAAUUUUAGGUAAAUCAUAAUAAAAAAAUUAAUUAAUUGAUUCAAUCAAUCAAUAUUAGGUGUAAAUAAAAAAAUACAAAUAAAAAUCUCAUAAAUGUACAAUUUUUAUUUUUAAUUUUAUUCAAACUAAAUACAUGUGCAAAUUAAGAUUAUUACAUCCUUGAACCCAAUAUUUAUUCCAAUAACAAAUGUAGAUACGUAAACUACUGGGAAGCAGCACACGUGUCCUGAAGAGAGAAAAAAAUCGAGCAAAUGCAGACAAUGGGAGUUGGCUAAAAGUUGGAUCUGCAAUUUACAAAAUCUGUAACUUAUUAGCCAGCUCCCAAAUUGUGUAGUCUUUUUUCAAAUUGUACAGACAUUUAUAAAUUGGUGGCCCCUUGAAAAUUUAAUGCCAAGCAGAUAAAAGUCAUCAAGCACAGUCCUCAAUAGUUGUUUCGUGUAUAUUUAUAAAUUGGUGGCCCCUACAUCUUUAAUAAUUGGGAUUGAAUUACGGUAUAAUUGUAGAAUCAUGUCUCAAUUACAUUCAAUUGUUAGAUAUAUUUACGUUGGUAAAAUUUACUGAUAUCUAAUAAUUAAACGUAACUAUAACACAAUAUUAUAAUUACACCACAAAUUUUCUCUAAUAAUUAUUCCGAUACUUAUAAAUUGGUGGCCCCUUAGUAAUUUAACAGCAGCCUGCAAGUGUCAACUAAUGAAAAGUCAUCAUUCACAAUCUUCCAAGUGAAACAGGAAAUAUACAAAAAUUAAAACAUGUCAUUCUUUUUUUUUCAUUCCCUGUCAUGUAACUUACACCCAAAUACAUAAAUAAUAUAAAAUGAAUGGAGAGAUGCCAGGAGCAGAUCAGCAGGGUUUGAAUAUGACCUUUGGCGCUUGCUUUUUUUUUUUUUUGUGAUUUUUUUUUCAUUUUUUCCUUCCUGUCAUUUUAUCAUUUCUUUGGCUUUGUCUCUAUUGCGGGUGUUACUGCAUGCUUACUGUUUCUUGACAAAGUUUGCUAGCUUUUCCUUUUGUUUAUUAAAUAUUUUUAUCGUCACAAAGUAUUACUCGUUCUAUUUGACAGUGAUGUAAAUUAAUUUUUCAAUUUUAUAUUUUAUCGUCGAUGUGAAUUCAAUUUCAUUUGUCAUCAUGCACAAUCCUCAAUAAUUGUUUCGAUAUUUAUAAAUUGGUGGCCCCUACGUCCUCAAUAAUUGUUCCGAUACUUAUAAAUUGGUGGCCCCUUAAUAAUUGGUGUUUGAGGAAUUAAAUAGAGCGAUCAUGAUCUUUUCCAAAUGAAAGUGAGCAAAUGGUUGAGCAGGUCACCUUGAUCAGGUGGUAUGAGUUUGAUCAAAUCACCUCGACCAGGUACAAUGAGGUUGAGCAGAUCAUCUUGAUCAGGUGGUGUGAGCUUGAGCAGAUGACCAUGUGGUAUGAGCUUGAGCAAAUCACAUCGACUAGGUGCUAUGAGGUGGAGCAGAUCACCUCGACUAGGUACUAUGAGGUGGAGCAGAUCACCUCGACCAGGUGCUAUGAGCUCGAGCAGAUCACUUCGACCAUGUGCUAUGAGCUUGACCAGAUCACCUCGACCAGGUGGUCUAAACUUGAGCAGAUCACCUCGGCCAAGUGAUGACUAGGAAUAAAGACUCAGUUAAAAUAAACCACCACAAAGCUCCUCCGAAAAAUCAGGGCACGAAUCUGAUUAAUCAAUGGUUAUUGUCACGAUCUAAGGUCGUGGGUGUGGGGUGUUUUAUAAAAAUCCCGAGAAAAUCACACCAAGGGAAGGCUCUUUUUCUCUGGAUCUGACGGAGAAAUCCUUUCUGGAUACUCUAUUUUACUUUUCUGCAAAUUAUUCAAAAAGCUUUUGGUUUUAAAAUAAUGUUUAUUUAGCCAUAUGAAAAAUGACAUAUUUGGUUUUUCCUGUAAACCCCAUAACUGACUUGAGCGUUGGAGGGUUUACGCCAGAAAAACUUCCGGCACCUCUGACCAUUCUCUGUAAUUUCAGGUACUUAUUGAUCGUCAGCUUGAAGAUUAUAUGCUCAUGAAUGUUCUGCUCAUAGUCAGAGAAUAUUCUGACUAUAUUAGCCAUGACAUUUUAGUAAUUUCAGGUACUAAAAAAAAAUUAAAAUUGUUGGCGUGAAAAGCACAAAUCCUAUUUUUUGACAAUUUUAUCUUUGUCAAUUUCAAAGAUUUACAAUAUCAUAGGUAAAGAUUAUAACUAUUUCAUCUUCAAGUUUUUAAUUUUAUAUUUUUUGUAGGAACUUUAAGAAAAUAUCAAUAAUUUAAAGAGAAUUUUUGAAAUUUUUAAUUUUAUCUUUCUUGUAGGAAUUUUAAGAAAAUAUCAAUAAUUUAAAGAAGGUAAAAUAACCAAUAAUUUUAUUUUUUUUUUAGUUAUUUCCGUUUAAAAACUGUUCUUUUAUUAGCCGUUGGAUUUUACUACUCUUAUAUCCAACGGCUUGCCACAACAAGACAAAUGAGGUGGCACCUUCCAACAGCUGAAAGGUCGUUUUGGCCCCAAGUGAAACAGGGGAUGCACUUACUAUUAAGGACAGUUGGUGGCCAGCUAAUGCACUCAUUUUAUGUCCUUUUAUCUUUUUGAAUUCCUGAAGACAAGUGCAUUCAUUUUGUGUCCUUUCAUCUUUUUGAAUUACUGAAGACAAGUGGCCAGCUAAUGCAUUCAUUUUUUGUCCUUUCGUCUUUUUGAAUUAUUGAAGACAAGUGGCUCAUCGCUUUUACUGUAGGUAAGAUCUUGAUAAUCUCGAUUAUCAAAAUAAUAAUAUUCAAAAUAUUUCUUAAUUUUAUUUAAAAGAUAAAAGAAAAAUAAGUUAUGCUGGUAAAUUUUUUUAUUUUUUUAAUAAAAAUAAAAUAAAUUGAUGUUUAUAAUUGUUUCAAAUACUUUAAAGAUUGUAAUUUUAUGAGAGAGUAAUAUUUCACAUUUUUAAUGUGAAAAGUUGAAAAGGGACAAAGCAAGUUUCUCUGUUUUUCUUUUUCUUUUUUUAAAUUUGGUCAUCUCAAAUACUUCACCCUUCAACACUACAAUAUUUUGGUUAUAUAUAUAUAUAUAUAUAUAUAUAUAUAUAUUUUACACAUGCAUAUGAAUUACUUUUCUUUUAAGCUCCUGAAUAUUUAAGACAAAUCAUGAAAGAGAUGAGAAUAUAAUAAGAUGAUCAAAAUAUGUAACAAAAUUUUUUUAGAAGUGAAACAUCGUUAGAGUUGAAGUAAAACUCUGAAAAUAGAGAUACUGAUUAAUUUAGAAGAGAUGCAAGCAAAAGAUAUGCCAAAAAAAAAAAAAAGCAAUAUGUCACUUUGGAGGGCAAACUUGUCAGUUUCACAAAAAUACAUGCUUUGUAUUGAUAGUUGUCACUAUGUAUUAGGGUGCGUUUGAAAUUAUAGUGCUGUACCUUUUAAACUACAGUUGUUGUAGAAAAAAAUAAAAAAUAAAAACUACACCUAAGAUUAAGGAAAAGUACUUCAAAACUCUCUUUUGAUCAUAAAACCUUUUGUCUUAAUUAACUUAAAGAUUUUGAAUCUAAUAUUUUAUAACAAAUAAAAAUAUAUUACCAAAAUAAAUAUAAUAAUAUCUAUUUUAAAAUAAUAUCAAUAUUUAAAAUAUGUUUUAAUAUUUGACGAUCUAUUAGACACAUUUUAUUAUGUUAAAGUAAAUUUUAUAAUAAAUACAAACAUACUAAUAAAAUGAAUAUAUACAACAUUUAGAGUAUUUUGAAUAUUAUAUAAAAUAAAUUUAAUACAAUGCAUGAGAUAUAUUUUAUUAAUUUAAAAUGCUAUUUAACCUAAAGAUUUAUUUAUGAAAAAUUAAUGAUUAUAUUUUUGAAAUUAUUUAAAAUAUUAAAAAAAUUAAUAUUAUUAAUCUAUCAGGUAGAUUAAAUUAUUUAUAUUAUUUUGCAUUUAUUAAAAAAUUUUAAAAUCAAUCUUUUUAAUUACUAUUCUAAGGAUAUAAUAAUAGAGGCAACUCCGUUGCGUCAUGGUUUUGGUACCCCGUCGUUUGUCUUUUAGCACAGUCAUCGUUGGAUUUUAUCUCACGGCUGCAGAAGAGACACAGAGACGCUAGGGAGCAACCUGACAAAAAGGUCAUGGGCCGGUAAGCUGCAGGGAAAAUAUUUAAAAUACAAAAUCUUCCCUUAAAUUUUUUUUAAUAUUUAACAUGUUAUAGUUUCUAAUCUCAUGAAUAGUAGAGGAUAAAGUUUUAUCUUAAAAAAAGUAAUCCCAAGGGUCUCCUUGGGAUGAAAUUUUGCCUCUAUUAGAAUUAAGUGGUGGGCUCAUUAUUGUUACUUUUAUUUUUUUUAUACCAAACAUGAUAUAGGAUUAUUUUAUACUAAAAUUAUCCAAUCCUAUGAUAUAUAACUAAAACUAAACAGGCACUUAGGGUAUAUAUGAGCCACGGUGGAGAAGCUUUAUUUAAUAUUAUUGAUUUAAAUAAUAUCUCAUUAAAAAUGUACUGAGAAGAAAUUUCGGUGGGUAUUUUAGUCAAUCACAUGAUCAGCCUUUGGACUUGAAACGUCGGUCAGAAUGAUUUAUUCUAACAAGAAAAAACUAGGUAAUAUUCCACAAAAGUAAAAGUGACAAAACAACCAGCUGGAUUCUUUUAGGAAAUUACAAAGAGUAAUGAUACAGUCAUAAAUUUUUAUAUAAAUUUAUUUUAUAUAAAUUGAUGUGGUAUUAAUUCAUUAGUUGAAUGAAAAUAUAAAUUAAUAAAAAUAAAUUAUAUGGACCAAGUAAUAUUUAAUUCAAUCAAUCUUAUUAUGUCACAUCAAUUUAUAUAAAAUAAAUUUAUAUUUGUAUUAUUACUCAACUAUAAAUUAAAAUAAAUUUUUUCGAUAAACUACAAAUUAAAGUGGAUUCUUUUGAAUGCAAGUGGGACAGACGAUAAGGCUAAAAAUUAGUCAAGAAUCGAAUAGUCUUUUUCAAAUUCUUGUUUUAUUAUUUUUCAAAACCAGUUUUUGGUAAUUACAAUCGGGUCAUUAAUCAUUAUUCAGAGUUAUUGUUUCCUUCAGAAGUUAGUGGCUCAUGUUUGCAAGUGUGAAUAUGCGAUGCUCUUUUUCGAAAGCGCAAUGACAGUGGGUCCCGAAUCGGACGUCCCUAAAUCUUUUUAAAAUUUUUGCCGUAUAACGAACAGAGGUCAUUACUAAAAUUUCUCUUCCACAGCCUACAGCAGCUUCAGUUUAUCAAACUCAAUCAAUUUUCUUUCUUAACAAAAUUCCAAAGAUGUGUAGCAUUUUUCAGAUCACAUGCGAUGGUGCUCUUUUCAAUCGUUGCUUGGAUUGCUUUCUUGGAAAAGCAGCAUACAUACGUAACCUCCAAGAUAAUCUUGUAGCCUUGGAGACUGAACUGGGAAGACUAAUCGCAGCAAAGAACGAUGUGAUGAUGAGGGUUGUCAAUGCUGAACGGCAACAAAUGAGAAGGCUGGACGGAGUGCAAGUGUGGGUUUCGAGGGUGGACGCUGUUAAAACUGGAGCCGAUGAACUUAUCACAGACGGCUCUGAAGAAAUUGGCAAAUUAUGUGUUGGAGGCUACUGUUCCAAGAACUGCAGGUCAAGCUACAAAUUCGGAAAACAAGUGGGUAAAAAGCUACAAGAUGUGAAGACUUUAAUCGCCGAGGGAGUUUUUGAGGCGGUGGCCACUGAGGUGGUGCCCGAGAGAGCUCCGGAACCUGUAGCAGAUAAAAGACCCACUGAGCCAACAAUAGUAGGCCUGCAAUCACAGCUUGAACCAGUUUGGAGAUGUCUUGUAGAAGAAUCAGUGGGAAUCAUUGGCCUAUAUGGUAUGGGCGGUUUUGGUAAAACCACACUAUUGACCCAUAUCAACAAUAAAUUUCUUGAGAGUCCCACAAACUUUGAUUGUGUGAUUUGGGUCGUAGUUUCAAAAGACCUGCGACUUGAAAAAAUUCAAGAAGAUAUUGGGAAGAAGAUAGGUCUAUCUGAUGAUUCAUGGAAGAAUAAAAGUUUUGAAGAGAAAGCUGUGGACAUCCUGCUGAGAUUAGGAGAGAAGAGAUUUGUAUUGUUGUUAGAUGAUUUAUGGGAGCGGGUUGAUUUAACAAAAGUGGGCGUUCCACUUCCCAGCGCACAAAAUACUACCUCAAAAGUCGUAUUCACAACCCGUUCCAUUGGUGUUUGUGGCAGCAUGAGAGCUAGGCCGGUUAAAGUGGCAUGCCUAUCAGAAAAGCAAGCUUGGGAACUGUUCCGCGAAAAUGUUGGGGAAGAAACUCUUGAGAGUGAUCAUGAGAUCGUUGAGCUAGCCCAAACUGUGGCCAAAGAGUGUGGUGGUUUGCCACUCGCACUUAUUACUAUUGGUCGAGCUAUGGCCUACAGAAAGAAAGCGGAGCAGUGGAGACGUGCAAUUGAAGAGUUAAGAAGAUCAGCUUCAGAGUUUGCAGGUUUGGGAAAAGAGGUGUAUCCUCUUUUAAAGUUUAGCUAUGAUAGUUUGCAGAAUGAGACAAUUAGAUCUUGUUUCUUGUAUUGUUGUUUAUAUCCUGAAGAUUAUGGCAUUCUUAAAUGGGACUUGAUUGAUUGUUGGAUUGGUGAGGGAUUUUUUGGGGAAUCUGACAGGUUUGGUGCAGAAAACCAAGGAUAUGACAUUUUGGACACUCUUGUUCGUGCAUGUUUAUUAGAAGAGGUGGAAGAUGAUGAAGUAAAAAUGCAUGACGUUGUUCGUGAUAUGGCUAUAUGGAUAACUUGUGAAAUUGAGAAGGAGAAGAGAAACUUUUUGGUUUGUGCAGGUGCGGGACUAAAGGAGGCACCGGAGGUUAAAAGAUGGGAAAAUGUGAGAAGAUUGUCACUGAUGCAAAACCAAAUUAAAACUCUGUCAGAGGUUCCCACAUGCCCUCAUCUCCAUACUUUAUUUCUUGACUUCAAUGACAAUUUGAAUAUGAUCGCGGAUGGCUUCUUCCAACUUAUGCCUUCUCUCAAAGUUUUGAAGAUGUCAAACUGCGUGAAUUUAACUUUGAAAUUACCUUUGGGGAUGUCAAAGUUAGGUUCACUAGAACUUCUUGAUGUUUCGAAUACCGGCAUAAGAGAGUUACCAGAAGAGUUAAAGUUGUUGGUAAAUCUGAAAUGUUUGACUUUGAGGUGGACAUUUGAGUUAAAUAAAAUUCCACGGCAACUAAUAUCAAAUUCUUCAAGGUUACGUGUGUUGAGAAUGUUGGGUACUGGCCUUUUGAAUUUUCAUGAAGCGUCAGAAGAAAGCGUUUUAUUUGGUGGGGGUGAAGUUUUGAUACAGGAAUUGCUCGGUUUGAAAUAUUUAGAGGUAUUGGAGUUGACCUUGCGAAGUUAUCAUGCUCUCCAAAUUCUUUUGAGCUCAAAUAAGUUAAAAAGUUGUAUUCGAUCUCUUUUCCUCCAGUUGGCCGGAGAUGCAACGUCGAUUGUUGAUGCUACGGCUUUCGCAGAUCUAAACCACCUCAAUGAAUUAUAUAUUAAUAAAGGUUUUGAGUUGGAAGAAUUGAAGAUUGAUUAUACGGAGAUAGUACGAAAAAGGCGGGAACCUUUUGUUUUCCGCAGCCUUCACCAUGUUACUAUAUGGCGGUGCGCUAAAUUGAAAGAUUCGACAUUCCUCGUUUUUGCUCCAAACCUCAAGUCUCUUGUGCUAGGUAAUUGCCAUGCUAUGGAAGAAAUAAUCAGCGUUGGAAAAUUUUCCGAGGUUCCUGAGAUCAUGGGACAUAUGAGCCCUUUUGAAAAUCUCCAAAGGCUUCAUGUAGAAGAUUUGCCAGAUUUGAAGAGCAUCCACUGGAAGCCAUUGCCUUUCACUCAUCUGAAAGAAAUGGGGGUAAGAGCAUGUGAUCAGCUUGAAAAGCUUCCACUCGAUUCCAGCAGUGCAAAAGAGCGUAAAUUUGUUAUUCGUGGAGAAGAAGACUGGUGGAACCGACUUCAAUGGGAGGAUGAAGCCACUCAAAUUGCUUUUCGUUCCUGUUUCCAACCUUAUUCCUGAGCCGUGGUCGCAAAAUUUGAUUUCUGGUGAGUGCGUUUUUGUUAACGCUUAUGUUUUAUUCCAGUGUAUUUUUCUUCUGUCUUCUGCAAAUCACAAUUAAAUGUGUGAUACAUGUUACGGGUAAUAUACAUGCAGUAUUUUUGGUACACUGCAAAUCACAAUUAAAUGUGUGAUACAUGUUUACGGGAAAUUUAUAGACAUGCAGUAUUUUUGGUGGGGUCGAAUUGAUGCUCUGGUUUUUUUUUGUUGUCAAAAUUUUCUCUGUUUUUUCAAAUUGAUGCUUUAUUUAUAUCUUCUUCGUGAAAAGUGAUUUAAUUUCCUGCCAAAAGACGAACGAGAAGAACAUUAGAGUCAAACUAAUGCUCACAUAAAUUUCCCGUAAGAAUAUAUAUAUAAUUAGACUGGAAUAGUAGCCCUCUUUACAGAAAAUGACGCGAAAGUUAAUUUAGAAAGAUAUAUUCUUGAUUAAUCCAUUUUCUGAAGCUUUUAUUUUGUAUGGUCAAUUAUACCUUCAUACUAAAAAUUUCUGAAUUUAUAAAUUAGUGCAACUUGACAAUUUUUACUGAUGAUAUCUUCUAUUUUUCCUUUCUUUCUUUUUUUUUUUUACUCUCAUUGAAUGUUACUGUCAUUUUACUUACAAAUAGGUUUGAAUUUUAUUUAGUUUUCUCAUAGUAUUUGUGCAAGUACUAGAAGGUCAAACCCCGCAUACUUUGAUUGCCAAACCACCGUCCAAUUUAAAAAAAGAAAAAAAGAAAAAAAAUGUGUAAUCCAUGAAUCUGGUUAAUUUUGUUUGUUUGUUUUUUUUUUUUUAAAUAUCAUUCUUUUUCGGCCACCCAAAAUAUCAUUGAUGACUUUUCUGGUCUAAUGCUAUGUAAAUAGUAUGUUAAGUAAAACAUAAUCAAUUAUUUGUGUUUUAUCUCUAAUUAGAACAUCAAUCAGUUCAGUACCUCACAAAUAAUUCGCAAUAUCUACAAAAUACUAUAAUGGCUACAAAACAAAUCCUGCUUGCAAAUUGUCAAGGAUACCUAUCCGUUCGCUUGACAAGUCAUUUGAAUAAAUAUUGUUCACAUUCCUUACUCUGUCAAUUAUCCAAAGCACCAUCAACUUUAGUUUGAAUAGUAUACAUGCCAUCACCAUUACCAAGAAUCAAGCAUGAAAGAGUCAUUCUAUAGAGUGCAGAACAUGACUCUAUGCGGUAGUCAAUUUGACACACGACGAACAACAUAUGCUGCAUAACAUACAAAUUAAUUUCCCAUAUGUGAUGCAAUUUUCUCCUCAACAUAUGCGCAAUUCUUUCCAUUCCGGCCGUUGAUUGAACCCUUUGGCAACAAGACGAGCUUUAAGCCUGUCAGCAGAACCGUUGGAAUGUCUUUUAAUACAAAAAUCCAUUUGCAGCCAACAAUAUUGGAAGGGAUGGGAGGUGGAACAAGCUUCCAUGUCCCGUUACGAACAAGAGCAUCAUACUCUUCUGACAUAGCUUGACGCCAGUGAGGAUUUUUGAUAGCUUGCGUCACAGUUGUAGGUUCACAAUCAGAAGAAGGGCUAAAAUGAGCACGGAGGUUAAGUUUUUGUAACGGCUUGUGAAUCUUAUUUUUAGCUCGGGUAGUCAUAUCAUGAUGAUUUGUGGGGCAAUGAUGUAGUGGAGUUUGGGAAGAUGAUUGAAGAGGAAGUGAAGAAGUGCUUUGUGUAGAGGUAGAAGUAGGUUGGGAGGAUUGCUGCGGAGAUGUUACCGGUAGAGAAGAAGGAGCAGUACACGGUGGCAACUCCAGAGGGCCCAUAGUGAAACACUUGCGUAAUUAGGAGUGGUAGAAGAGCUUGUAAUGAUUUGUAUGGAAAAACAAACUCUACAAAUUUAACGAGACGUGAAAUGAAAAUUUGAAAGGUGGAUGGGUCAAAACAUAAAUAAGCACUUUGAGAUAAAGGAAUAUCCUAUAAAAACACAAGGCUUAGAGGGUGGUUCGAGUUUAUAUGAUGAAACACAAACAUUCAAAAAUUUUAAGUUUAUAUUAAUUAGGAGUGGUACCAAAAAUUAAUUAGGAGUGGUCCGCGGGACAUGUAGCUAUGGGGUUGUUGGAUGUGUUUUGGAUAUUUACAGACAUGCUGAGUUUGAGUUUAUAUCUCAACUUAAAAUUUGUAGUUUUCACUUGAAAAAAUUCAGUUAAAAAUUGAUUGGUAGAAUUGUGAAAAAAGUUUAAAUUUUUAGUUCAACCCGAUUGCAUAUUUAAGAACAUCUCAAAUGAAUUGCUUACUGCUAUCAUCAUCAUUAUUGUCCAUAUAAUAAUGGAUCUUUAUUAUAUAUAUAUGUUUCCACUAAAAUAUAUUUAAUUAUUCUUUAUUUUUCCAUUGUUGCGUGUAAGAUUUAUUUGAGUUCUAAGUUAUAUCAAUACAAAUGUUAUCUUAUCCAUUAAAAGUUAGAUCCAACAAUUAUGAAAAUUACCAUAGAGUUGCUUUCAACUAUUUUUUAAAAAUACCAGGAGUAAAAAAUAAUUAGUUCAAAUGGUGGAGACUAAAAAGCGUUCACCUUUAUUUUUUAUCUGUUAUUUAUUUUUUUCAUUAAUGCACAUGCUAUACAUUUGAGACAUUCCAUUAAUUGCCAAUUAUGUAUGUGAGAUAGUAAUUUAAAUUAAAAAAAUAAAAGUGAAAGUUAAUCCUAUGCAAUGUGAAUAAAUUUCUUUCCUUUUUCCUUUACUCUUUUUAUUUGACAAUAAAGUUUCCAUCUAUCAUCUAUCAUCUAUGUACGCAAAAUUUCUGCAACAGGUACAAAACAUAAAAAUAUAUGAUUGUUAAGGGAAACGCGCAGGAGUUCAUCAUUUCAAUGUUCAGCAUUACCAAUUUUGGCAUUAAGCUGAAUAUAUUCCACUUAGAAAGCAAAAUAUUAGACUCGUGAUUUUAAUUCAUUCAUUAUCUCUCAUUUUAAUCCCAAAAUAUUCAAGAGCAUCCAAGUUACCAUAAGACUUCAGAGGCUCAAGCCUUAGCCAGAGAUGGUUAAUUGAUAGACUAUGUGCCUGGGUCGAGCACUGGAAGCCUGCAAUGCAGACUGAUUGAUUUAUCAGUUUAACGUGUGCCAGGAAUGAAGAACUGGAAUAUCACCGUCAAGCAAGCACCCUGUGGAGCAAUACCGAAGAAUGCACAAUCCAGCUUUGCUAGGUGACACUGGAGGCUUUUUGAAAAGUGCUUCACGCUCACUUGCACAGAUUGAGCAUCCCCUCUGGAUAUUGCCCUCUCUGAUCGAGUCUGAGCACUCAAAUUUUGGUCCUCAGAGGGAGCUACAGUUUCUCUCCACUAACCAACAAUUUUCUAAACUCAGCACCUAGUGUGAUCAGAGUUGUUGAUAUUUGCAAAUGGAGAUCCCCAUAUUUGCAAAUGGAGACAUUUAACAAAUCACCAACAUGCUUCAUCCGGUCCACGAAAUUCUGCAACUGAUUCAAAUCUGGAACCUGAACCAGAGUCGGAGGUAUAUCUUGAGCCAUAUCUAAAGCAGUUUGAAGUUCAAGACCUUGAGCCCUUGACAAUGGUUUUGAAAUUGGAACAUCUUGGAUUACUGCAGACUUGUACCCCUUGGUUUCAAAGGUAAGGAAAGGCAUUGCUUGAGUACAAUUUGGAGGCAGCUUCUUCACCAAUUUUAUUUGGAGGCGAUUGGUAGCGGAUCCAGCUGCACCAAUUUCAGAGCAACUACUGACACUACUUCGAACAGCACACUGAAGAAGUGAUAUGUCUACGGCGAAGGCAAUGCAGUCCUCAUUUUGGCUUGAGACACAGUAAUCAUCGUAGAGAGUUUCCUUGUGAAACUGGGCAACACAUUGAAUCCCUUCGCCACUGAGAAGGUUGUGGAGGAAGUAAGCUUUCUCUCUAGUGAGGAAGAGGUGGCAUACCUUCCCCAUUUUGUCUAGGGCAGGUAGGAAUCUUUUUUCUAAGAGAUUUACUUCAUUCUCUGUGAGAAAUGCUUUGAACUUCAUCCCUCUGUCUCUAUCCUCACUUAUCAGGAAAUAAGUUGAAAGCACUACGAAGAGAGAGAGAGAGAGAGAGAGAGAGAGAAUUAAGAUAUAUAGACAAGAAAAAUAUUAGAUGUUGAUCUUACAAACUAAUACUUCAAGCAGUAUCCUAGAAAGCUAAAAACUGCAAGAUGGCUUGAAAUUUGAGAAGAGCACGUGCUUUUCCUCCUUAACUUGAGAAAAUGUUUUAUAUAGUGCACCUUACAGAAGCAUUUAAGCAAUUAGAACUUUGCACAAAAACAUCAAGAAGACUAAACAAAUCAGAUGCAGUGCAUUUGUCCAAGCACAAAUUGCAUUUUGUCCUCAACUUUAAUAUUUAUUGAUGAGAAUCAAUACAGGUCCCUCAUUUGUUAUAGAAAGCUUUCUUGUAGUCUCACCAGUUAAUAUGGAUAUUAGAUAAGGAAACUUUAUUAGGUUGCGAGGGUAAAAAAGGAAAGAGAUAUCAUUAUUUUAUUAUCGAUAAUUAUUAAAUUUUUUUCCAAAAAAAAGAACAAGCAAUGAUAUUUUAUUGUCAAUUGCAACCUUUAAUUUUUUUAAAUGCUAUUAGAAACACAAGAUAACAAAGAAAUACUUAUUUUUUCCUAAAACUAAAAUCAAUUGUUUAACUUCUUAUUUCAUAAUCCAACUCCAUUACUAAGUUAAAAAAAAUUGUUUCAAAAUUACUUGAGUCAUAUUCAAUGGACCAACAAAGUAACCGUUUUUAUUUUUAUUGAUUUUUGCAGGAAAUUAAUAAGUUAAAAAUAAUGAAAGCUAUUGUAAAAAAAUUUAUUAUCAACCUCAUAAUUUUUUUUUUUUUGGGGAAGAGAAUUCAAACAUUUUUUUUUUUUAAUUUCCAAGAAUUCUUGACACCCAUCUUAAUUAAAAGCUAUAUUUUUAUUCAAGAGUCAUGCUAUUCAUUCACUCACAGACCAAAGGCUUUCCGCAGCAAUAUUAUUAUUUAAAUUACAACAAAGGGGAAAUCAAACACGUCAUACAGAAGCUUAAAGGUGAAUCUACAAAAUCUAGAGCUCUCAACUACAAAAAUUACACUUGAUGAUCCUCUACAAGAUGAAGGUUGUUCAAUAUCUUGAGAUUGCCUGCCUUCCUCGACGACCUGCACGAUGUGUUUGUACAAAUCAUCAUACCUGUGCACCGGAUUUUUAAUAUCAACGCCACUGCAGCUGUGAUCAAGAACAUAAGAGCAUUUAACAUCUUUUCUCCAUCGAGAAAGAAUGUAGUGAGAUGGGAUCUCCUGCAUGCCACUCUGGUUUAGAACACAAAGAAUGUGUCUGCAUAAAUAUCCUCUGAAAUUGAACAACCCACAAACACAAAGCACCUCCAAGUCGGAGGCAUUGUACAAAACAUCGAAAGCCCUUGAAUCUUUCUCGUUGCUACCAACCUUAAAUUCUUCCUUCACUAUGUAUGUUACAGGUCCAUCAGCACUGACAUGUUUUGUGCUAUAGCAAUACAUAGCCUCCACCUCCGUCUGAAACUUCCUUAACAUUUCAUUUGUGUACAGUUUUGAGAGUUGAAAUUCAUAGUAUCAUCUUGGUUUCUGGAUACAACUUGAAUUUCUUGAAUCCAUAUCUGCCAAGGCUACCAGUUGAUAAUUCGCCUGCAGUGCUUGAUCAUACUUGUCUAAGAAUUCUUUCAAAGGAGUAUUCUUAUCAAGAUAUCCUUCAAAGUAUGAAGUAGAAACCUCAUUCUGCAGGAACGAAAACACUCCUGAUAAAAAAGCUUCCUUCAAAUAAAUAGGAGCCCACCUUUUAUGAUCUUCAUAUAAAGUUUGAAUCUAUCCGUGAUCCUUUAUUCCAUGACAUUGAAUCAUGUCUUCCCAAGCUGCUUCAAAUUUCUCAGGCCUGAGAGAGUGAUAAAUUGCUCUAUGUAAUGCAGCUUUAAUAGCUUCAUAUUCAAACAAUCCUUGGAGUUUCUCUGGAAUUUUUUUGCAUGAUGCAUGACAAUGAAAAGCAAUGAUAAGCUCUUGGGAAAACAUCACCAACAGCAAUUUGCAAGAUUCUACAUUGGUCAGUGAUGAUUGUUUGUGGAGAGCUCCCUAACAUACAUGUAAGCCACGCCGUAAACAACCAUGUAUAUGAUUCUAUGGUCUCACUGGCAAGUAAAUCACAAGUCCACAACCCAACAACACUGAUUGUCCAUGAUGAUUCACCCCAAUGAAUGAAACCAGUGGUACAUCAUAUCUUUCAGUCAGGCACGUAGUAUCAAUUAAGACCACAUCACCAAAGUACCUAUAUGCAACUCUUGACCUGGUAUCAGUCCAGAAUAGGUUUCUCAAGCAUCCCUUUUCAUUUAGAUCCACUACAUUAAAAAAGUUUGGAUCUGUCAACUGCAAAUGACAAAAGAAACUCUGGACAGCUUGUGCAUCUCCUGGUUUAAGCUUCAAUUGAUUUGAGCUAUUAACAUUAUUUCCAAAUACUCCAUUAACAUCUACCAUUUCCCUUGGUAUCAAUGAUAAGAGUUCGAAACAGUUUAAUUUUUUGAACUUCUUCAGCACUAUCUAAAUGCAAUGUUCUUUUGGUUCCAAUACCUAUGUGCUUAUGUGACUUGUAAAACUUUCCGCUUCUUGGGCUUAACAAGUGGUUAUGCUCAAGCUCGACUUCAAUGAUUCUCCACCUUUUGGUUUCCAUCAACCUAAACUUUAUCAUUGCUGGACAGCCAGUUCUUGUUUCUGGUCUUGGGCGGUUUGCCUCGCUUUUCUUCUUGAAGCCUGCACUACUACAGCUCAGCUUUCCUCUAUACUUUUCUCUACUCUUUCGGUACCAUGGAUUGCUAACUCUAACACCAAAACCCUGUUCCUUGGCAUAGCAAUUGUAAAAGUAAUAUACAUCAUCAUACAUCUCAAACUCCAUUCCAACAGUAGGAGGCAAGGGAUUUUGGAUUAUCCCAGUUUGUCCAACAUAUUCAGUCAUCGCACAAUCUCCUACGACCUCAAAAUCAUCAGUGUCAUCAUCACCUACUGGUUCGGUGUUGAGAGAAACUUCAUCCAUCUACAAUGGAUGUUCAAUGAAGUGAGCUUUAAGGAGAAAAAGCAAAAUCAGUUCAAGGAAUGAUAAUAUAAUCAUACAGUUACUUUCACAAAGCUUCAUAUUUCAUCACUGCUUUACCAACAUGCAACUGCCAGAGAACAAACAGACAUGUCAUAGACGCUUGAAUUAAGUAUUGGUACAAAUGAGCACACAUCAUGUGGGACAAAAUUUCAGUCACUAAACCCAAUACCACUUUUUACAUCAUACCAAGGAACAGAUUAAACCCGACACCUUCUUUUAAACCAUACCAAGGAGCAGAUUAAAUCAUCAAUGAAAAAUUAAUCACAUAAUAACUUAACCAGACAAAUGAAGAGCCUGAAACAGCACAAAACUUGAAUCUGAUUAUGAUAAUUGUUGAGUCCUUGUAUCUACAGCUUUCCUUCAAUGAUAAGACAAUGAACAUAAACGAGACACAAAAAAAUUAUUUUAAACUGACAGCCCAUGAUAUAAAUCAAACAAAAUCAACUCCUUUUUUUACACAUUACAUCUCAUAUUCAUUUACAUUGAAACACAAAAAGGAAGCAGGAGUGGGAAAAAAACAACAGCAGAGGAACUUAUUUCCAUAAGGUUUACGAAAUAAGGAAUCUAUUAAAACCCAAAACUUGAGGUCACCACUAAGAAUUUGGUUCUCAUUAUUUUUUUCUUCAUUUUUCACCAAUUGAUGAACUUAAAAUACAAUCAUAAAUGAUAAAACCCCAUCUCCAUCUUUUUGAACUAGAGCUAAAGCAAAGCAUUUUAAGAUGUUUCAUCAUUUUUUAAAAAAAAAAAAAACUCAAUAGUACAAUGUUUUUCAAUGUUAAAUGCACAAUUCAAUCUUCUCCUAAUUUACUCUAAUAAUCUCUUAAUUAAGGAAGAUUAAGCUUCAGUUGUAAGCUAAAACAAAUUUCUUAAAUCAAGCCCCAAUGCUUUAUGCUAUUCAACAAGGGCUCAUAAAUGAUAAAACUACUUCUAUAAAGAUACCCAUUUUCUAAAUUAAUUUCACAAACUGAAAUCAAACUCCUGAAACGUAACGAGCAUUAAUAUAAUCAAGCCCGAACAAGAAUUGAUAAAUGAUACAUAAACUCGUUUACACAUUUCGACAGACACUUUGCAAUCAAUGAGCAAAAAAUUAAUGGAGAAGAUAAAAUUCAAACGAAACAUGCCUUACAUUGAUAAAUUAGAAGGGCAAAAGAAAUUUUAGUACGAUAUGGGAUCAGGGUCUUGCCACGGUGAUGUUAUUUGUGAAGUUCGAGCGACUCAGCAGCCUUCGAGGUUGAAAAUUUGAUUGACCAAAAGCUUCCCGUUCGUUGAUUCUCUAAUAGUAGAAACGAGACUGGCAGUAUACACAACAAGUUCGCCGAUUUUAAAUUCCGUUGUUUGAGAUGGAAAAUUUUUUGAAAAAAUUAAUGUGUUCGAUGAAAAUCAAAAUCUCAAAAACCUUUUGUUUUUCAUUUUUUUGGAAAAAACCAUUGAGAUCCUUACUAUUUUUUCUUAUAUCAUCUUGCUUAAUAAUUUGCAAAGUCUAUCGCAUAGCACCCAUGCAUGAUGUAUGCUGCGUUGUAAUUUACAAUAUUGUACAUGAAUAAAUCCAGCUAAUAUUUGUUAAAAGAAAAUAAUAAUAACAUGUUAAAACUUUAAAAUUUGAUUAUUAGAAGAAAUUUUAAUUUAGCUAAGUAGGUGACAUGAUAAUAAAUAGAUACGUAUAAUGUCCGAGAUUUUUUAUAAGAUUAAUAAAUAUGAUAAAUUUGGAUUAGUUCAAUUUUGACAUAAUUGCAAACAAUUUAAUUUGUGUUGUUUCUCUAAAAGUUUGAGACACAAAUGUUAUUUCAAAUUGAUAAAAGUACAAUUUAAUCCCACUUGCUCUUCAACUAAAAAUUAAACAUGCAAAUACACACACUAAUUUAAAGUCAUCUGUAUAAUUGAAACGCCAUGCACUAGUAGUAGGUCAGAGAAACCAAGGUUGAAAUGUGUAGAAAUGUUGAAACGCCAAUAAUAAUUGAAACGCCAUGCACUGUUCGUUUAUUUUUAUUCAUGAUUUUUUGUAAAACGUAAGAAAUGUGUAGAAAUGUUGCCAGCAAUGAUUUUGGAACUUUGCAUAAAAUUUUUAUCGUUAUUGUUUUUGGUAUUAAGAAAUCCGAGGCGGUGAUUAGACGUAUGUUGCAACAAUUAAGAAAUUUCUUAUUGGAGAUAAUUCGGUAGGUUGCAACAAUUAGAGAAUCAUUUUCCUGUCAGUUAAACGGUUCAUUUUCAGCCAUAACAUGCUAAAAAUGCUACACUUAACGGUUCAUUUUCAUGGAUUUUCUCGGGAAACAAACAGAAAAUUACGGUUUAGAGAGUUGACUGACGUUUUGGCUUUUGAAAUUGAGAAGAUCGCGCGCCAAAUUGGAAGAGGGAAAGUGAAAGUGCGAGUUUUAAUAUGGGCAUUAGAUAAGGAAAUUUUAUUAGGUUGCGAGGGUAAAAAAGGAAAGAGAUAUCAUUAUUUUAUUAUCGAUAAUUAUUAAAUUUUUUUCCAAAAAAAGAACAAGCAUGGAUAUUUUAUUGUCAUUUGCAACCUUUAAUUUUUUAAAUGCUAUUAGAAACACAAGACAACAAAGAAAUACUUAUUUUUUUCCUAAAACUAAAAUCAAUUGUUUAACUUCUUAUUUCAUAAUCCAACUCCAUUACUUCGUGCUGGUUUUUUCAGGUGAAUAACAGCUAAAAAUAAUUUUAAAAGCUGUUACCAAUUCUCAUGAACUGUUACAAUUAAAAAAAUCAAGCAUGCAUGGAUGGUUAAGUGUGUAGAGAGAACCUCCAUCCUUAUAAUUCUUACUUAUGCAUGGUUAAGUGUUUAUAUUUAAACACUAAUUUCUAGGCUUCUUUUUCCCAUGUGGGAUAAGCCUCAUUUCCUUUCAAAUUUCCAACUUCAAGGGUGAACUUUGAGAGACAAUUUCUCAUUCACCCAAGCACCAUUUUGAGAAAAUAAAAUUAUACUUUUGAAGUAUGAACGGAAUAGAAUCCGAAUCUCACAAUAUUUCCCACUUUAGUUAAAUAGGACCCACUCAAAAUGUGCUCUCAAAAUAACAUGUUAUGCUAUUUUUUCAACAAAAUUGUGGGCCAACAAUAGUGGGCAUGGUGUCGACUUUUGAGAAAGCCUGGAGAUGCGUUGAAGAAGAAUCAAUUGGAAUUAUUGGCCUAUAUGUCAAUGGGGGAGUUAGAAAAUAUUUACUCAAAUCAACAACAAGUUCCUUGAUAGUCCAAAUAAUUUUGAUGUUGCGAUCUGGGUAGUGGUCUGCCAAGAUUUGCAACCCCAGAAGUUUCGGGAAAAGAUUGGGAAAAAGAAAGGCUUCUUCGAUGAGUCAUGGAAGAUAUGAAGUUUUGAAGAGAAAGCACUCGACAUAUUCAAGAAUUUAAGCAAGAUGAAGUUUGUAUUACUGUUGGAUGAUAGAUGGGAGCAUGUUGAUUUAAUUAAAAUUGGUGUCCCUCUUCCAAGCAGAAAAAUUACAUUCAAGAUAGUCUUCACAACUCGUUCUAUUGACAUUUGUGGCCUCAUGGAAGCUCACAACAAGAUUAAAGUGGAGUGUUUAAAUGACAAAGAAGCAUGGGAAUUAUUCUGCAAGAAGGUUGGAGAAGAUGUGGCGACUCUGUCCAAGUGCUAAGGAGAUCAGCCUCUAGGUAUGUAAAAACAAGUAUAUCCUCUUUUGAAAUUCAGUUAUGAUAAUUUACCAAGCGAUAAAAUUAGAUCGAGUCUGUUAUACUGUAGUUUGUUUCCAGAAGACUUUCCAAUUAGCAAAAUGGAAUUGAUACUGAGAUACGAAAUCAAGGAUACUACAUUAUUGGUGUUCUUGUUCCUUUAUGUUUAUUGGAAGAAGAGGCUCCACUGUUUGUAAAAGUGCAUGAGGUGAUACGCGAUAUGCUUCUGUGGAUAGCUGUGAAGGUUUUUUUUUUUUUUUUUUUUUUUUUUUAUAGGGAUAGCAUGUGAAGUUGAGAAGGAGAGAGAGAAUUUUGCAAGGAUUAACUGAAGUACCAGACAUUUGGAAAUGGGAAGGGUUGAGAAGGGUGUCUUUGAUGAUCAACAAAACUGAGAAGGUAUCAGAAAUUCCUUCAUCUCACGAUCCACUAACUUUGUUGCUUCAACAUAAUUAUUUAGAGGUGAUCAAUAAUGACUUCUUCCAAUCUAUGCAUUCCCUUAGAGUUUUGAACUUAUCAUGUAAUCAUUCUCUAACUGAUAAUUUCAAAGUUAGUUUCCCUACAUACGAGAGUUGCCGAAUGAGUUAACGUUCGUAGUGAAUCUUAAGUUUUUGAAUGUGGAGUAUGCACGGUUUCUUCAUUCAAUUCCAGGGCAAGUGAUAUCCAGUUUUACGAUGUUACAAGUUUUGAAGAUGUUUGGUUGUGGCAGGUCAUCUUCUGAUCGUGAGCCACACCAGAAGAUAGCGUUUUAUUUGGAGGCAGUAAAUUUUUGAUUGCGGAGUUGUUUGGUUUGAGAGACAUUUAGAUGUGUUGACCAUCAUCCUAAGAAGCUCCCAUGCUCUGAAAAGAUUUUUGAGCUCCAACAAACUUCAAAGUUGUUGAUGCCGAAAUCCGGAUGAGUUGAUCGAAUCUCAGAUCCCUGCAUCAGCAUUGAAUUUGUUUGGUGGGAAGCUGAUGAUUAGUUAGCACCAUGAGCAGAUUUUCUAUGAGCAGAUGUUCUGUGAGCAGAUCAGAUGUUCUCCUCGUUCUACGACCAGGGUCUCUGCUCGAUCAACUUCACCACGACCAGGAUCUCUCCUCGUAAAGCUUCUUCUCCAGAGGUUCCUGCGCACACAGACAAGUCAGAGUACGCCGGUUGUUUUCCCGGCGCAAACCCUCCGACGCUCAAGUCAGAUAUGAAGGUUCGGGGAACGCUUGCCACAGAUCUUAUGGCUUUUGUGUAGUUUUCUUUAGAAUUGCUUUUAUCUCUCUUCUAAUCUCAAAAUUGCUAACCCUUUUACCUUCGUUGGCUACCUUUUUAUAGGCUUCCUCUCAAUCCCAGUUUUCCGCAGUCUAUGCCGUUAUCCCACGUUCUCCUUCAAUUUUCAUCCCUCCUUUUUCGGGUAGUGGCCUUUAAAUGCUUUUAAAUGCUACAUCAUGGGAAACGUGGGGUAUCGCAUCUCUCGUAACGGUUCUGGGAAGAAUGUAAACGCCAUAAUUCUGUGGGAUCGUGUUCCUGCUUUUCCAGGAGAUGGGUAUCAGCUCGGGAUACACCUUUUGUCAGUAUCCGUCUCUGAUCGGUUCAUGUUGCCCUCUGCUCUGCUCGUACAGUUACACUUGGCUGAGGUGAUUCAUGCCGGGGGUGAUUCAUGCCGAGGUGAAAACAGUACUAUGGCCGACCUGGUAUCAUUAUUGGCUCAACACCAGUCCCCCAGUUUCUGGUCUUGUGAGUGAAAUGAGUCAAGAGUAGAAACUGAUAUUCAAAUCUUACCAAUCCGGGGGCUUCUCCUCUGGUCUUUCAUCUAUCGGGAUGGUCCUGAGGUAUCAUUUUUCUUCAAGGGAGAUUUUGACCUGAGUAUGGAAUAGGAAGUCAUCUGCUCAAGUUUAGACCACGUGGUCGAGGUGAUCUGGUCAAGCUCAUAGCACAUGGUCGAGGUGAUCUGCUCCACCUCAUAGCACCUGGUCGAGGUGAUCUGCUCCACCUCAUAGCACAUGGUCGAGAUGAUCUGAUCCACCUCAUAGCACCUGGUCGAGGCGAUCUGCUGAAGCUCAUACCAUCUGGCCAAGGUGACCUGCUCAACCAUUUGCUCACUUUCACUUGGAGGAGAUCAUGGUCGCUCUAUUUAAUUCCUCAAACACCAGUCCCCCAGUUUCUAGUGUUGAGAGUGAAACAAAUCAAGACUGGAAACUUUAGUGGUCUGCUCGUCUUCGCUUGGUUGAGCAGAUCCUGGCACGCUUGGCUUCUGUCUCGCCAUAAAACAGGCUUUGAGACUUUGUCGAGCCUUUGCAUGCCUUCGAUUCUUCAAGGAUUGGGAUUCUGCUCGCCUUCUCGUGGCCGAGCAGAUCCUAGCACGCUUGGCUUCUGUCUCGCCAUAAAACAGGCUUUGAGACUUUGGUGAGCCUUUGCGUGCCUUUGAUUCUUCAAGGAUUGGGAUUCUACUCGCCUUCUCGUGGCCGAGCAGAUCCUGGCACGCUUGGCUUCUGUCUCGCCAUAAAACAGGCUUUGAGACUUUGGUGAGCCUUUGCGUGCCUUUGAUUCUUCAAGGAUUGGGAUUCUGCUCGCCUUCUCGUGGCCGGUGGCCGAGCAGAUCCUGGCACGCUUGGCUUCUGUCUCGCCAUAAAACAGGCUUUAAGACUUUGGUGAGCCUUUGCGUGCCUUUGAUUCUUCAAGGAUUGGGAUUCUGCUCGCCUUCUCGUGGCCGAGCAGAUCCUGGCACGCUUGGCUUCUGUCUCGCCAUAAAACAGGCUUUGAGACUUUGGUGAGCCUUUGCGUGCCUUUGAUUCUUCAAGGAUUGGGAUUCUGCUCGCCUUCUCGUGGCCGAGCAGAUCCUGGCACGCUUGGCUUCUGUCUCGCCAUAAAACAGGCUUUGAGACUUUGGUGAGCCUUUGCGUGCCUUUGAUUACUUCAAAGAUUGGGAUUCUGCUCGCCUUCUCGUGGUCGAGCAGAUCCUGGCACGCUUGGCUUCUGUCUCGCCAUAAAACAGGCUUUGAGACUUUGGUGAGCCUUUGCGUGCCUUUGAUUCUUCAAGAUUGGGAUUCUGCUCGCCUUCUCGUGGCCGAGCAGAUCCUGGCACGCUUGGCUUCUGUCUCGCCAUAAAACAGGCUUUGAGACUUUGGUGAGCCUUUGCGUGCCUUUGAUUCUUCAAGGAUUGGGAUUCUGCUCGCCUUCUCGUGGCGAGCAGAUCCUGGCACGCUUGGCUUCUGUCUCGCCAUAAAACAGGCUUUGAGACUUUGGUGAGCCUUUGCGUGCCUUUGAUUCUUCAAGGAUUGGGAUUCUGCUCGCCUUCUCGUGGCCGAGCAGAUCCUGGCACGCUUGGCUUCUGUCUCGCCAUAAAACAGGCUUUGAGACUUUGGUGAGCCUUUGCGUGCCUUUGAUUCUUCAAGGAUUGGGAUUCUGCUCGCCUUCUCGUGGCCGAGCAGAUCCUGGCACGCUUGGCUUCUGUCUCGCCAUAAAACAGGCUUUGAGACUUUGGUGAGCCUUUGCGUGCCUUUGAUUCUUCAAGGAUUGGGAUUCUGCUCGCCUUCUCGUGGCCGAGCAGAUCCUGGCACGCUUGGCUUCUGUCUCGCCAUAAAACAGGCUUUGAGACUUUGGUGAGCCUUUGCGUGCCUUUGAUUCUUCAAGGAUUGGGAUUCUGCUCGCCUUCUCGUGGCCGAGCAGAUCCUGGCACGCUUGGCUUCUGUCUCGCCAUAAAACAGGCUUUGAGACUUUGGUGAGCCUUUGCGUGCCUUUGAUUCUUCAAGGAUUGGGAUUCUGCUCGCCUUCUCGUGGCCGAGCAGAUCCUGGCACGCUUGGCUUCUGUCUCGCCAUAAAACAGGCUUUGAGACUUUGGUGAGCCUUUGCAUGCCUUUGGUAAUUUCUUCGAAACUUGGGAUUCUGCUCGCCUUCUCGUGGUCGAGCAGAUCCUGGCACGCGUGGCUUCUGUCUCGCCAUAAAACAGGCUUUGAGACUUUGGUGAGCCUUUGCGUGCCUUUGAUUCUUCAAGGAUUGGGAUUCUGCUCGCCUUCUCGUGGCCGAGCAGAUCCUGGCACGCUUGGCUUCUGUCUCGCCAUAAAACAGGCUUUGAGACUUUGGUGAGCCUUUGCAUGCCUUUGAUUCUUCAAGGAUUGGGAUUCUGCUCGCCUUCUCGUGGCCGAGCAGAUCCUGGCACGCUUGGCUUCUGUCUCGCCAUAAAACAGGCUUUGAGACUUUGGGGAGCCUUUGCGUGCCUUUGAUUCUUCAAGAAUUGGGAUUCUGCUCGCCUUCUCGUGGCCGAGCAGAUCCUGGCACGCUUGGCUUCUGUCUCGCCAUAAAACAGGCUUUGAGACUUUGGUGAGCCUUUGCGUGCCUUUGAUUCUUCAAGGAUUGGGAUUCUGCUCGCUUUCUCGUGGCCGAGCAGAUCCUGGCACGCUUGGCUUCUGUCUCGCCAUAAAACAGGCUUUGAGACUUUGGUGAGCCUUUGCGUGCCUUUGAUUCUUCAAGGAUUGGGAUUCUGCUCGCCUUCUCGUGGCCGAGCAGAUCCUGGCACGCUUGGCUUCUGUCUCGCCAUAAAACAGGCUUUGAGACUUUGGUGAGCCUUUGCGUGCCUUUGAUUCUUCAAGGAUUGGGAUUCUGCUCGCCUUCUCGUGGCCGAGCAGAUCCUGGCACGCUUGGCUUCUGUCUCGACAUAAAACAGGCUUUGAGACUUUGGUGAAUCUUUGCGUGCCUUUGAUUCUUCAAGGAUUGGGAUUCUGCUCGCCUUCUCGUGGCCGAGCAGAUCCUGGCACGCUUGGCUUCUGUCUCGCCAUAAAACAGGCUUUGAGACUUUGGUGAGCCUUUGCAUGCCUUUGGUAAUUUCUUCAAAACUUGGGAUUCUGCUCGCCUUCUCGUGGUCGAGCAGAUCCUGGCACGCGUGGCUUCUGUCUCGCCAUAAAACAGGCUUUGAGACUUUGGUGAGCCUUUGCGUGCCUUUGAUUCUUCAAGGAUUGGGAUUCUGCUCGCCUUCUCGUGGCCGAGCAGAUCCUGGCACGCUUGGCUUCUGUCUCGCCAUAAAACAGGCUUUGAGACUUUGGUGAGCCUUUGCAUGCCUUUGAUUCUUCAAGGAUUGGGAUUCUGCUCGCCUUCUCGUGGCCGAGCAGAUCCUGGCACGCUUGGCUUCUGUCUCGCCAUAAAACAGGCUUUGAGACUUUGAUGAGCCUUUGCGUGCCUUUGUAGUAAACUUUGACUGGUUUCUUAACUCUAGCCUAGCUCUCUUUUCUUAAAUCAUUCUCAUAUUGAGUAACUUUCAAGAAAUCAAGUUAACUAAGUUAAACAGUCAGCCCUAAUAUAAGCACAAUUAGUUGAAUGAAUAUAAGGCAUCCUCAUAUCACAUAGUAGGAUUUAGAGAAAUAAUUAAAUUUUCAUGAGAAAAUUGUUUGUAAAUAAAAAUUUAACUUCUGACCUGUUCUGAUUUCUGCAAACGUCUGCCUUCAUUGUGCUCUCAUUUAAGGGUUUUGCUACCUUGUUUAAGCACGCUCAUCCAUUUAUGUACUGUAACAUUCUGAUUUGCUUCGACUAGAUGAAAAUUGAUAGAAACAAAAAUUUGGCUUCUCGUACCGGUCCCCACAGACGGCGCCAAAUGUUGAUGCCGAAAUUCGGAUGAGUUGAUCGAAUCUCAGAUCCCUGCAUCAGCAUUGAAUUUGUUUGGUGGGAAGCUGAUGAUUAGUUAGCACCAUGAGCAGAUUUUCUAUGAGCAGAUGUUCUGUGAGCAGAUCAGAUGUUCACCUCGUUCUACGACCAGGGUCUCUGCUCGAUCAACUUCACCACGACCAGGAUCUCUCCUCGUAAAGCUUCUUCUCCAGAGGUUCCUGCGCACACAGACAAGUCAGAGUACGCCGGUUGUUUUCCCGGCGCAAACCCUCCGACGCUCAAGUCAGAUAUGAAGGUUCGGGGAACGCUUGCCACAGAUCUUAUGGCUUUUGUGUAGUUUUCUUUAGAAUUGCUUUUAUCUCUCUUCUAAUCUCAAAAUUGCUAACCCUUUUACCUUCGUUGGCUACCUUUUUAUAGGCUUCCUCUCAAUCCCAGUUUUCCGCAGUCUAUGCCGUUAUCCCACGUUCUCCUUCAAUUUUCAUCCCUCCUUUUUCGGGUAGUGGCCUUUAAAUGCUUUUAAAUGCUACAUCAUGGGAAACGUGGGGUAUCGCAUCUCUCGUAACGGUUCUGGGAAGAAUGUAAACGCCAUAAUUCUGUGGGAUCGUGUUCCCGCUUUUCCAGGAGAUGGGUAUCAGCUCGGGAUACACCUUUUGUCAGUAUCCGUCUCUGAUCGGUUCAUGUUGCCCUCUGCUCUGCUCGUACAGUUACACUUGGCUGAGGUGAUUCAUGCCGGGGGUGAUUCAUGCCGAGGUGAAAACAGUACUAUGGCCGACCUGGUAUCAUUAUUGGCUCAACAAAAGUUGUACCUGAUCUCUCUAUCCUAAAUGCUUUGAUUCGAAGUCAGUUGAUGUUUUUGGCUAGGCUGAUCUGAAGCAUCUCAAUAGGCUAUAGAUAUUGCGAGUUGUAAGCUUUUGGAAGAAGUGAAGAUUGACUUUGUUGGGAAAGCACAAUGAACCCAUGGUUUUCACAGCCUUAUGUCACGGAAGUUGUCUAAAUACUGCACGGGUUGCUGCGCAAAGUAACCAUCCUAUGACAUUGAGCCAUGUUGAAAUAUCAUUUUGCUGUAAACUGAGGGAUUUGACAUAGCUUGCUUUUGCUCCAGACCUUCUUGUUGUUUCCAGAAAAUGUUGCCAUGAUAUAGAGGAAAUACUCGGUGUUGGAAAAUUAGGUGAAGAGAUGACGUCAAAUCUGGAACCCCCUGCAAAACUCCAAGGUUACGUUUGGCAUAUAGGAUUGGAUUAAAUUGGGUUCUAUUUAUAUUUUUAUGUUUGGUACAGUUCCGGAUUGAACCAUAUUAGAUUAUAUUUAAAUAAUAUUGAAUAGUAUUUAAGUUGGUAUUUUAAUAUAAAUAUCAAUUAUCCAUGAAAUUUUAUAAUCAUAAUUAAAAUAAAUUUAAAAAGCAAUUACUAGGAAAAUUAAAUAUAUUGCAAAAAGUUAUUGGGUAGUCAUAAUAUAAUAAGCAAAUAAAAUUAAAUAAAACAAAUUAAAUAUUUAAUUAUUUUUAUCAAAUAUUUAAAAAUAUUAUAUAAAAUCAAUUCAUUAAUGGUAUUAUUAAUUUUCAUGAUUAUUUUUAAUAUUAUAUUAGUGAUUAUUAAAUUUAAUACAAUCAAAUAAUGUAAUAAAUAAUUACACGUUUAAUUUUAUCGAUUAAUUAUUAAAUAUACAAGUAAUGAAAAUUUAAUCUCAGGAGUUGGUAGACGCAAAAGUACUAAUUUAAUUAGAUCAUAGAUAAUAAAUAAAAUAAAUUUUAAGUAAAUCAUAAUAAAAAAAUUAAUUAAUUGAUUCAAUCAAUCAAUAUUAGGUGUAAAUAAAAAAAGAGUAACGAUAUAUCCACAAACUCUUACACAAACUCAUGUGUCAUGAUAAGAUUGAUUGAAUUAAAUAUCACUUGGCCCACAUAAUUUAUUUUUAUUAUUUUAUAUUUUCAUUCAACCAAUGAAUUAACGCCACAUCAGUUUGUACAAGAUAUGUUUGUACAGGAAUUUGUGGCUGUAUCAUCACUCAUAAAAAAAAGAUACAAAUAAACCUCUCAUAAAUGGACAACUUUUAUCUUUAAUCUUAUCCCAACUAAACACAUGUGUAAAUUAGGAUUAUUAAUCCCAUGAUUUUAGGAUUAAAUUCAAAUUUAUUCCCCCUUAAUCCAAUCCAACUAAACUUGUCAAACAUGGGAUAAAAGUUUAAUUCUAAAAGCAUCACUAAAAGGCUCUUCAAAUAAGAUUUUAUUACUUAUUUGAAGAGCCAUAUCAAUAUUUAACGCUCCAAAAGACACUUCAGUUAAGAUUCUUCAAACAAUAGAUGAUUCUCUCUUUUCAAAUUUCGAGAGUUGAUUUCUCCCUCUUCAAUUUGUAUUUUAUUAUUUUUCAUUGGAGAAAGAGAGAGAAGUGCUUUAAUUGCUAUUGACUUUUUCCUUAAAAAAAUAAUUAUUUGAUUAAAAUAAUAUUAAUUUAUUUCUAUUUAAAGAGUCUUUUAAAGAAUAAUAUAUUUUUUUAUUUUUUUUAUUUAUCACAUAGGUAAAUAAAUAAAUAUUUAAAAAAUAAAAUUAAUAGAGACUUUUGGAGAUACUCUAAAAUUAGUCCAAUCCCAUACUUAAUCCUAGCAUCCAAAUAUAGCCCAAGUUGUUUGCUUAAAGAAGCUACCAAAUUUGAAGAGCGUUUACGGGAAGGCCCUGCGUUUCCCAGAUGUAUGCAGAAUUUUUGUAUCUAAAUGGCCAGAACUUAAGAAGCUGACGCUGGAUUUUGAAAGGGCGGGCCAAGGUAAAAUUCUUAUCAAGGGAAAGGAAAAUCGGUGGAAACAACUUCAAUGGGAGGAUCAAGCAACUCAGGAUGCAUUGCUUCUGUUUUUCAAAUCAACUGACAAGUGAUUGAAGGGGGCAUCAUCAGCCUGGAUGGGGAGAUCCUGGAGCAGAUCAGCAGGGUUUGAAUCUGCAUCAUCAACAUCAUCAGGAUCUCUAUUUCUAUUGCUGGUCGUAAUGCCUGCCGACUGUUGCUUGAAAAAGUGAUUAAGUGAGCCAGUUUUUUGUUUAUUAAAUUUUGUCUUAAUUGGCGUCCAAUAGAAAUUUACAAGAAUUACUUUUCUGUUCAUGCAAUCGGCGUCUGAACGCGGCUGAUCGGUCACCGGUGUUGGCGUUUACUGUGAUUAGACAAAUUGUAGGACUUCAAAAAUAACUUCUAUAGGGGUAAUUUCGAUUUCACAUAAUUAAUUUUAUUUACAAUAUUUUAUUCCUGCAAGGUCAACUGAGAUUCUUUCCACCGGGCACACCCUUCAUGUUCUUUUAUUUUCUGUCUUUUAUUAGCCGUUGGGUUUUACUACUCUUAUAUCCAACGGCUUGCCACAACAAGACAAAUGAGGUGGUACCUUCCAACUGCUGAAAGGUGGUUUUGGCCCCGAGUGAAACAGGGGAUGCACUUACUAUUAAGGACAGUUGGUGGCCAGCUAAUGCAUUCAUUUUAUGUCCUUUCGUCUUUUUGAAUUAUUGAAGACAAGGGGCUCCUCGCUUUUACUGUAGGUAAGAUCCAGAUAAUCUCGAUUAUCAAAAUAAUUAUUUUAAAAUACCUUAAUUAUUUUUUUUUUUAUGUUGCGUUUAUUAAACUAGAAUAAAAAUGAGUUGAAAUCGGAAUGAGUAGGAACAAGAAUGAAAAUGAAAAUAAUGAAUGGGAAUCAAAAUAAGUUGUUUACUUGAACUAUAGAAAUCAAAAUCGUAAUGAGUUGAGUUACCAUUAAUGUGUUUAUUUUGUCUUGGAAUCAGAAUCGAAACAAAUUAGAUUGUAACAAAUUACUAAAAAGUACUUAAUGGAUUAUUGUUAUAAUUAUUAUUAUUAUUAAUUAAUUAAUUGUACAAAAUUUUAAUUAAUUAUAAUAACUAUAAUAAAAUUAUUAUAAAAAUAUAUUAACUAAUAAUAUUAAUAUAAAUUACUUAAUUAAAAUAAUAUAUUAAUUGUGAUUAUUUAUUCAAAAAAUAUAAUUAUUAAUAAUUAUUUUUAAUAAUAUAUUAAUUCAUAGUAAUAAUUAUAUAUAUAUAUAUAUAUUUAUUUAAUUGUAUUAAUUUUAUUUAUUUAUUAUUAAUAAUAAAUGAAUUAAUUAUUAUAAUUAUUGUUAAUAAUUAUUAUAAUAGUAUAUUAAUUAAUUAAUUACAAUAAUAAUAUAUUAAUUAAUGUGAUAUUUAUUUAGGAACAAUAAUUAUUAAUAUAUUAUUGUUAAUAAUAUAUUAAUUAUUGUGAUUAUUUAUUCAAGAACUAUAAUUUUUAAUAAUUAUAGUUAAUAAUUUAUUUAUUUAUUUAUUUAUUUAUUAAUCAUAAUAUAUUAAUUAAUUAAUUAUAAUAUUAUAUUAAUUAAUUAUAAAAGAGGAUAAAGUGGAUAUUUUUAAUUUUGGGAAGGGCAAAAUAGUUAAUCCUAGGAAUGAGAGACUCUUUCUCACCUCUGCAUGGGAAUCAAUCUCUCAUUCUCUAUUCUCAAAUAGUAGUAGACCCCAUCAUUUCGAUUCUAAUUCUUACUCCAUAUUUGUGAAGUAAACAUCAUCAAUCAUUCUGAUUCUGAAUUUUUGUGAAUGGAGAGAUGCCGGAGCAGAUCAGCAGGGUUUGAAUAUGACCUUUGGCGCUUGCUUUUUUUUGUGAUUUUUUUUUUUCAUUUUUUCCUUCUUGUCAUUUUAUCAUUUCUUUGGCUUUGUCUCUAUUGCGGGUGUUAUUGCAUGCUUACUGUUGCUUGACAAAGUUUGCUAGCUUUUCCUUUUGUUUAUUAAAUUUUUUAUGGUCACAAAGAAUUACUUGUUCUAUUUGAGAGUGAUAUGAAUCAAUUUUUCAAUUAUAUAUUUUGUGGUCAAUGUGAAUUCAAUUUCAUUUGUCUCCCGCAAUUAUGAAAAAAUUACAGUCAUAAUAUGGAAAAGUACACCGGCAAAAACUUUGUAAAAGCUUCGGAGUGAUACGGGGAAUUCACUUACUACUAAGGACAAUUGGUGGCAAGCUAUUCCAUUCAUUUUAUGUCCAUCCAUCUAUUUAGUUAUUGAAGAUAAGUGGUCCAUUUGUAAAUUUCAGAUUGUCUCUCUCUCCCUCUUGAAAUAACAAUAUUUAAUAUAUCUCUUAAAUUAUUAUAAAUUUUAAUUUACUCUCGAUUUAAAAUGGAGCAUGUCGAUAAAUUUUUUUUCUUCUUAAUAAAAUUGACGUAAGUUGUGUUUACAGUAGUUUGAAGUUUGAAAUAUUUUAAAGAUUAUUAUUCUAUAAGGGAGUAAUAUGAAAUGAAAUUUACUUUUCAUGUGUGAACUGAAAAAGGACGAAGCAAGUGUCCCUACUUUUAUUUUAUUUCAAGGAGGAGUCAUCUCACAUACUUAAGCUCUUAACAUUACAUUUUUUUUUGUUACAUUUUUUUUUUAAUUUUUUUUUUUACACAUGCGUGUGGGUUGCUUAUCUGUAAGCUCCUUAAUAUAUAUUUAACACAAAUCAUGAAAAAGAUGGGAUUAUAUCAAGAUGAUCAAAGCAUGUAAAAAAAGAAAAAAGAAAAAAAAAUUAAGAAGUAAGACACUGAAAAUGGAGAAGAGACGGAAGCAAAAGAUAUUCCAAAACAAAGCAAUAACAAAGCAAUCUAUCCCCUUUCGAGGGCAGACUCAACAGGUUUAAAAAAGUACAUGCUUUGGAUUGGUAGUUGCAAUCAAGGGAAAAUAAAUAGGAUCCAAUGAAAUUUAAAUCUUGGAGAAAAUAAAUAAUCAUGCAGAUUUUCAAGAUUUUAAUAAGGGAUACUAAUAUCUUAUUUUGAUUAAUAACAUUCUUUCACUGUGUUAACUCAAAAAAAAUAUUAUAAUGCUUUACAAUAAAUACAAAUGUCCUAUUAAAUGAAUAUAUAAAAAAUUUAGAAUAUUUAGAAUAUUAUAUAAAAUAAUUUUAAUAUAAUGCGUGAGAUAUAUUUUAUUAAUUUAAAAUGUCAUUUUACCUAAAAAAUAUGAUAAAUUAAUAAUUACAUGUUUGAAGUUAUUUCAAAUAUUAAAAAAAUUUAAUAUUAUUAGUCUUUUAGAUAGAUUAAAUUAUUUUUUAAAGAGAUAGAUUAAAUUAUUUUAAAAUACCUUAAUUGUUUUUACUUUAAACAUUACCGGCCUUUCUUUUAUUUUAUUGCAAAUUAAUGCUAACAAGAAAAAGCUAGAUCAUAUUCCGCAAAAGCAAAAGUGACAAACACAACCAGCUGGAAUCUUUUAUAAAACUACAAAUUAAAAUGGAUUUUUUUUUUGAUAAAUUACACAUGAAAGUGGAUUCUUUUGAAUAUAAGUGGGGUAGGCUCUUUUAUUUUAUUUUUGAAUAUUGUAUAACGGGACUGUAGACUCUUUUAUUAAACUACAAAUUGUAUAGUCUUUUUAAAAUUGUUAUGAAUUAGUGGCCCCUACAAUCCUCAACAAUUGUACCAAUAUUCACAAGUUGGUGGCCCCUACAAUUCUGUUCCGAUAAUUUAACUGUGCAAGUCCUCAUUCACAAUCUUCCAGGUCAUGCUCUCAAUAAUUGUUUUUUUUUUUUUUUUUUUUUUUUUUUUUCUGCAUUCCCUUUCAUGCUCUUAAUAAUUGAAGAGCAUACUUUUCAUUUUCAAAUGUGGAGCCGCAUCUAAUGUCGCUAAUUUAAUUUGGGAUUAAAUUAGGGGACCAUUAUAUUGCAGUGUGCACUAAUUUUUGUGUUUAUCUAAACUCUUUAAGUUUAAGACAUAUUAUGGCAUAAAUAAGAAUAUAACAAUAACAAAAGAGUUAGAAAGUGUAGAGAAGAUCUUGCAGAAAUAUAAAUAAUAUCUAUUUUAAAAUAAUUUUUAAUAUUUUAUGAUCCAUUAGAUAUAUUUUAUUAUAUUAAAAUAAAUUUUAUAAUAAAUAAAAACAUCCUAUUAAAAUGAAUAUAUAGAAAAUUUAGAGUAUUUUAAGUAUUAUAUAAAAUAAUUUUAAUAAAAUAUGUGAGAUAUUCAUAGUUUAUUAAUUUAAAAUACCAUUUUAAAAUUAAAGAUUUAUUUAUGAUAAAUUAAUAAUUAUAUUUUUGAAAUUACUUCAAAUAUUAAAAAAUUAAUAUUACUAAUCUAUUAGAUAGAUUAAAUUAUAUAUAUUAUUUUCUAUUUAUUAAAAAAUUAAAAUUAUUUUUAAUUACUAUUCAAAAAAUAUAAUGAUAAAAAAAAAUCUUAACAUCUUUAUUAAAAAUUUAAAAAUUUACAUGAUCAAUUCUCUAAAUAUUUAGGGUAUAUGUGAACAUCGGUGGAGAAGCUUUAUUUAAUAUUAUUGAUUUAAAUAAUAUGUCAAUUAAAAAUGCGCGGAGAAGAAAUUUCGGUGGGUAUUUUAGUCUUUUCAGCAAUUAUCAUGAUCAGAUCAGCCUUUAGCUUGAAACGUCGGUCAGAAAAGUUUUAAAAUUAAUGCUAACAAGAAAAAGCUAGGUCAUAUUCCACAAAAGCAAAAGUGACAAAACAACCAGCUGGUUUUUUUUACUAAACUACAAAUUAAAAGUGGAUUCUUUUGAAUACAAGUGGGACAGACGAUUAGGCUCUUUUUAUUAAACGCAAGUAAAAAGUAGUCGAAUAGUCUUUUUUCAAAUUAUUGUUUUAUUAUUUUUCCUUCAAAAGUUAGUGUGGCUCAUGUUUGCAGGUGCGAAUGUCAGAUCACAUGCGAUGGUGCUUUUUUCAAUCGUUGCUUGGAUUGCUUUCUUGGAAAAGCAGCAUACAUACGUAACCUCCAAGAUAAUCUUGAUGCCUUGGAGACUGAAUUGGGAAAUCUGAUCGCUAGAAAGAACGAUGUGAUGAGGAGGGUUGUCGAUGCUGAACGGCAACAAAUGAGAAGGCUGGACGGAGUGCAAGUGUGGGUUUCGAGGGUGGAUUCUGUUAAAACUGAAGCUGAUCAAUUUAUAAGAGACGGCUCUCGAGAAAUUGAAAAAUUAUGUGUUGGAGGCUACUGUUCCAAGAAUUGCAUGUCAAGCUACAAGUUCGGGAAAAAAGUGGCUAAAAAGCUACGGGAUGUGCGGACUUUAAUCAGUGAAGGAGUUUUUGAGGUGGUGGCUGACAGAGCUCCAGAGUCUGUAGCAGAUGAAAGACCUACUGAGCGAACAGUAGUAGGCUUGCAAUCACAACUUGAACAAGUCUGGAGAUGUCUUGUAGAAGAAUCAGCGGGAAUCAUUGGCCUAUAUGGCAUGGGCGGUGUUGGUAAAACUACACUACUGACCCAUAUCAACAAUAAAUUUCUCGAGAGUCCAACCAACUUUGAUUGUGUGAUUUGGGUUGUAGUUUCAAAAGACCUGCGACUCGAAAAAAUUCAAGAAGAUAUUGGGAAAAAGAUAGGUUUGGUUGGUGAUUCAUGGAAGAGUAAAAGUGUAGAGGAGAAAGCUGUCGACAUCUUCCGGAGUUUAAGAGAGAAGAGAUUUGUAUUGUUGUUAGAUGAUAUAUGGGAGCGGGUUGAUUUAACAAAGGUGGGCGUUCCACUUCCCGGACCAAAAAAUACUACCUCAAAAGUCGUAUUCACAACCCGUUUCAUCAAUGUUUGUGGUACCAUGGAAGUUGACAGGAAGUUUCAAUUAGCAUGCUUAUCAAAAAAGGAUGCUUGGGAACUGUUUCGAGAAAAAGUUGGGGAAGAAACUCUUCAGAGUCAUCAUGAUAUCGAUGAGCUAGCCCAAAUUGUGGUCAAAGAGUGUGGUGGUUUGCCGCUCGCACUUAUUACUAUUGGUCGAGCUAUGGCCUACAGAAAGAAAGCGGAGCAGUGGAGUCGUCCAAUUGAAGAGUUAAGGAGAUCAGCUUCAGAGUUUGCAGGUUUGGGAAAAAAAGUGUAUCCUCUUUUAAAAUUCAGCUAUGAUAGUUUACAGAAUGAUAGGGUUAGAUCUUGUUUCUUGUACUGUUGUUUAUAUCCUGAAGAUUAUGGCAUUCUUAAAUGGGACUUGAUUGAUUGUUGGUUUGGCGAGGGAUUUUUUGGGGAAUCUGACAGGUUUGGUGCAGAAAACCAAGGAUAUGACAUUUUGGACACUCUUGUUCGUGCAUGUUUAUUAGAAGAGGUGGAAGAUGAUGAAGUUAAAAUGCAUGACGUUAUUCGUGAUAUGGCUCUAUGGAUAACUUGUGAAAUUGAGAAGGAGAAGAGAAACUUUUUGGUUCGUGCAGGUGCUGGAUUAAAAGAGGUACCGGGUGUUAAAGGAUGGGAAAAUGUGAGAAGAUUGUCAUUGAUGCAAAACCAAAUUGAAACUCUGUCAGAGGUUCCCACAUGCCCUCAUCUCCUCACUUUAUUUCUUGACUUUAAUCAGGAGUUGGAGAUGAUCGCGGAUGGCUUCUUCCAACUUAUGCCUUCUCUCAAAGUUUUGAAGAUGUCAAACUGUUCGAAUUUGAAAUUACCUGUUGGGAUGUCAGAGUUGGGUUCAUCACUAGAACUUCUCGAUAUUUCAGAAAACAGCAUAACAGAGUUACCGGAAGAGUUAAAGAAGUUGGCAAAUCUGAAAUGUUUGAAUUUGGGGUGGACAAGGGAGUUAAAUAAAAUUCCACGGCAACUAAUAUCAAAUUCUUCAAGGUUACGUGUGUUGAGAAUGUUCGCUACUGGCCGGUUCAAUUUUCAUGAAGCACCAGAAAACAGCGUUUUAUUUGGUGGGGGUGAAGUUUUGAUACAGGAAUUGCUCGGUUUGAAAUAUUUAGAGGUAUUGGAGUUGACCUUGGGAAGUUAUCAUGCUCUCCAAAUUCUUUUGAGCUCAAAUAAGUUAAAAAGUUGUAUUCGAUCUCUUUUCCUCGAGUUGACCGGAGAUACAGCGUCAAUUAUUGACGCUACGGCUUUCGCAGAUCUAAACCACCUCAAUGAAUUAUGGAUUGAUAAUGGUAUUGAGUUGGAAGAGUUGAAGAUUGAUUAUACGGAGAUAGUACGAAAAAGGCGGGAACCUUUUGUUUUCCGCAGCCUUCACUGUGUUACUAUGAUUUCGUGCCGUAAAUUGAAAGAUUUGACAUUCCUCGUUUUUGCUUCAAACCUCAAGUCUCUUCGGCUACGCAAUUGCUAUGCUAUGGAAGAAAUAAUCAGCGUCGGAAAAUUUGCUGAGACUCCUGAGAUGAUGGGACGUAUAAGCCCUUUUGAAAAUCUCCAAAUGCUUGAUUUACAAGGUUUGCCACAUUUGAAGAGCAUCUUCUGGAAGCCAUUGCCUUUCACUCAUCUGAAAGAAAUGGAGGUACUUAGGUGCGAUCGGCUUGAAAAGCUUCCACUCGAUUCCAACAGUGCAAAGGAGCGCAAAUUUGUUAUUCGUGGAGAAGAAGACUGGUGGAACCGACUUCAAUGGGAGGAUGAAGCCACUCAAAUUGCUUUUCGUUCCUGUUUUAAAAGUGAUGCUUUAUUUAUAUCUUAUUCGUGAAAAGUGAUUUAAUUUCCUGCCAAAAGACGAACGAGAAGAACAUUAGAGUCAAACUAAUGCUCACAUAAAUUUCCCAUAAGAAUAUAUAAUUAGACUGGAAUGCACACCUCUAGAUUGAACAGAAUUAAAGCUGAGAAGAUAUUGAGUAUAGUAGCCCUCUUUACAGAAAAUGACACGAAAGUUAAUUUAGAAAGAUAUAUUCUUGAUUAAUCCAUUUUCUGAAGUUUUUAUUUUGUAUGGUCAAUUAUACCUUCAUACUAAAAAUUUCUGAAGUUAUAAAUUAGUGCAACUUGACAAUUUUUACUGAUGAUAUCUUCUAUUUUUCCUUUUUUUUUUUUUUUUCACUUUCAUAGACUGGCAGCGGAUCCUGCGGCACCAAUUUGAGAGAAUAUACUGACACUACUUCGAACAGCAAGCAGAAUAUGUCUACGGCAAAGGCAAUGCAGUCCUCAUUUUGGCUUGAGAUGCAGUAAUCAUCGAAGAGAGUUUCCUUGUGAAACUGGGCAACACAUUGAAUCCCUUCGCCACUGAGAAGGUUGUGGAGGAAGUAAGCUUUCUCUCCAGUGAGGAAGAGGUGGCAUAUACCUUCCCCAUUUUGUCGAGGGCAGGUAGGAAUCUUUUUUCUAAGAGAUUUACUUCGUUCUCUGUAAGAAAUGCUUUGAACUUCAUCCCUCUGUCUCUAUCCUCACUUAUCAGGAAAUAAGUUGAAAGCACUAUGAAGAGAGAGAGAGAGAGAGAGAGAGAGAGAGAGAGAGAGAAUUAAGAUAUAGAGACAAGAAAAAUAUUAGACGUUGAUCUUACAAACUAAUACUUCAAGCAGUAUCCUAGAAAGCUAAAAACUGCAAGAUGGCUUGAAAUUUGAAAAGAGCACGUGCUUUUCCUCCUUAACUUGAGAAAAUGUUUAAUAUAGUGCACCUUACAGAAGCAUUUAAGCAAUUAGAACUUUGCACAAAAACAUCAAGAAGACUAAACAAGUCAGAUGCAGUGCAUUUGUCCAAGCACAAAUUGCAUUUUGUCCUCAACUUUAAUAUUUAUUGAUGAGAAUCAAUACAGGUCCCUCAUUUGUUAUAGAAAGCUUUCUUUCUUGUAGUCUCACCAGUUAAUUCACAGGUCUAUAAUCAUCUUGCAAAGUUAAGGGCAUUUCUUUCGAUCUAAAGUCUUUGCAUCACCACCUCAUCACACGCCAAGCCAAUAUUCCAUUUACCUCUACAACAAAAAGUUUUAAUUAAACAAUCCUAAUGCACGCAGCCAAAUAAAAUGCAGUAAGAAUAUUCAACUUAAAAAUCUGAAAGCCAACUUGGUGAAUUGCCUCCUUAGGUGAAGUUCCAUGCUUUACUAUAGUUGACAGAACUCAGCAAAAGCUUCCAUACAACAGAUUUUGAAAAUGAUGAUGCCAACAGAUACUUAUUCAAUCCAUUGAAACUCCAAAGGUUCAUUGUUCAUAGAAGUUUACAGAGUUUUGGUCAUCAAAUAGCUCAGACCUAAUCCCAAACAAAAAACGAGUGAAAAUUAGAUCACGAGCAGCUAAUUGUAAAUUCUAACUUAACUCUUCAUCUCCUUUGUAAACAAGAAACAAAAUGGAGACACGCAAAAUGAAUAUGGAGAAAAUUUGAACUCAAAUGAAAUGAGGGCACAAAAGCAAACAAAUGGCAUGCACCAAAAAACCAAGCCUCAAUCAAAAACUAAUUAACCAUUAAGAAAAAAAUUGCCCAGAGAAUGAACUCCAAAUUCAGGAGUCAAGCAAGAACCUUUCAUUAUUUCAGAAGCUCCUGUACAAAUUAAUAAGUUAUGCUCUUUGGAAGCAAACCUAAAUUCCAAGAGAAACAGAACCCAAAAAAAUUUGCAAUUAUACGCAAAGGAAGUGAAGCACAGGAUUCUAUCACACAUAGGAAUUGUAUAACAAGAGAUCGAUAUAUCGAAUUAGAAAACUCAAUUCGAAUUUGUGUCAAAAAUCAAAAUUAGAAGAUUUCACAUUUCGAGAGGAACAAGCAACAGAUGAAGUUCAAAAUUUCAGCCAUAACAUGCUAAAAAUGCUGCACUUAACGGUUCAUUUUCAUGGAUUUUCUCGGGAAACAAACAGAAAAUUACGGUUUAGAGAGUUGACUGACCUUUUGGCUUUUGAAAUUGAGAAGAUCGCACGCCAAAUUGGAAGAGGGAAAGUGAAAGUGCGAGUUUUAAUAUGGGUAUUAGAUAAGGAAAUUUUAUUAGGUUGCGAGGGUAAAAAAGGAAAGAGAUAUCAUUGUUUUAUUAUCGAUAAUUAUUAAAUUUUUUUCCAAAAAAAAAACAGGCAAGGAUAUUUUAUUGUCAUUUGCAACCUUUAAUUUUUUUAAAUGCUAUUAGAAACACAAGACAACAAAGAAAUACUUAUUUUUUUCUAAAACUAAAAUCAACUGUUUAGGGCCCGUUUGGUAUUGUUUCUAAAUUUAUAUUUUCUGACAAUAAAAAUGAAAAUGAAAAUGAUGUUUUGCAGUUGCUGUAUUUUAAAUUUAAGUAUACGUUUGGUAUCAUUUUCUAUAUCCUAUAUUUUAAAAUUAAAAAUAAUAAUAUGUGUUUGGUAAACACAUUUGAAAAUAAUAAAAACAGAGAAUAUGCGUUUGGUAAUACUUUUUUUAAAAAGAGUUUUUACUAGUAUUUACGUCAUAUUUAUAGUUAUAAAAUAAUUAUUUAGCUAAUACAUACACAAAUACAACAUAAUAAUUUAAACAAAAUUAUUAUAAAAAAAUUACAUGAUAAUAAAGUUUUAGAAUUAGCAUUAAUUAAAAAAAAGUUUUACAUUGUCAUUAUUUUUACACCAUAAUUAAGAUAUAUAUUACAACACAUGAUUUAAACAAAAUAAUUAUAAAAAAAUUACAUGAUAGGCAUUAUGCAUUACGCAUGUAAUCAUGCCACAUAAAAGCUGCAAUUCUAUCUCUUAUAGCAUUCAUCUUUGCGACACUUGAAGGAGAUAAAUCAAUAUUAGUAAGUGACCUACUAGUGUCUCCUUCUUCGUUGGUAACCAAAUCUUGCACAUCAAAGUCUCCAAAUAACCUAUCACAGGCAAUAAAUUCAAAUUGUGAAUCCCAUCUAAAGCAAUAAAUUGAAAUUACAGAUUGUUUGAUUGGAUUGAAUCCUAUCCUGGGCAAAGCUUGAAAAAACUUUAUUUCUCUCUAGUAACAAAAGUCCUAUUUGCCUAAUGCAUUUUCUCUGUAAAAAAAAAAAAAAUUGGAGUGACAUGCAAUAAAUUCAACUUGUGCAUCAUCAACAAAAUGGAAUUUGGAGUAAAAUCAACAUCAUGGCAAUGACAAUCGUGAACAAUAUCAUCUUUACAUGCUAUUAAAAACAAUUAAAAUCACUCAAAUAAUUUCUGAAAUUUUUAUUAAAUUCUCAGGUUUUUUUUUUUCAUUCUAAAUGUCAUAUAUACAAAUUCAUUACUGUCCAAAAACAUCCUACUUUAAGAAAUAUUUAAAAGUUAAUUAAGUAAAAAAUCUUGUAAAUUAUAAUGUCUUUUUUUUUUUUCGUUUUAAAUUGGUUUCCAAAGAAUGAUGUCUAUGCUUACAGAAGCAAAACAUGCCAAACAGCAGCAGCGACAUUUUGUGAAUUGUUUUUAACUUAAACAAAACAAAUACCGGCAAGUGACAGAUCCGAGAGAGCAACAGCAGCUGGCGUGAAGACGAGCAGCAACGGCUGAGCAGAGCAACAGCGGAAACAGAGCAGCAGCGAAGACGAGCAGCAGCGGAGCAGAGCAGCAGCAGAAACAGAGUAGCGGCGGCUAUGGCGGAAACACAGCAACGACAGUGGUUGAGAGUGCAGAUUUGCUGAGGAAAGGGAGAGAGUGCAGAUUUAUUGCAACUGAAUCAAGAAGGCUGCGGGGGAAAGGGGAAGAGAGAGAGGCAAUGAAGAGAUAAGGAGGAGAGAGUGGAUCGGGAGAAAUAAAGAGAGAGAAAGAUGUUGGAUGAAGAUAAGGGGAGGGAGAGAGUGCAGAUUUGCUGCAACUGGAUGAAGAAAGUUGGGGGGAAGAGAGAGCGGCAGUGAAGAGAUAAGGAGGAGGUCACGAUUUUUCUUUUGUUUUUUAAUUCAUUUUUAGGUUUAGGUGGCGUUUGUUUUUUUGUCUGAAAUCUGAAUAGACUUGAAUUAGUCUGAAUUCUGAAUAGGUCUGAAUGUCUGAAUCUGAAUAAUAUGUUUGUUUUUUCGUCUGAAUCUUGAAAAAUAAGUAUUAAGUUGUUUGUUUUUUUCAACUUAAAAAGCUGAAAAUAUAUACUUUUACAUUUGUAUCCUUAUUAAAUUUGAAUGUCAAAUAAAUAAUAUAUUAAAUACCACAAUAUUUUAACAUUUAUAAGUAAAACUAUAUUCAAGUGAAUACAUAAUUAUUUUAGAAUUUUAAUAUAUAAAAUACCAUAAAUUUCAAAUUUUAUCGUAUAUAAUAUAAGAAAGAAAAAACAGGGAUAUUUUUAUGUGGGGUAGAUAUCUAUGGGUGAGUUUUGGGAUAGACAUGAAAAAUAAAUUAUAAAACAUGGAUAUUUUUGACAUUAGCAAGUAAUUGACUUAAUUUAGAUUUCUCCAUUAAGUAAAAAGCCAAAAAAAUUAGCUUAUUUUAUUAAGUCAAAAUUAUUUAAAAAUUCUCAUUAAGUUAUAAAAACAAACAACUCUAAUUAACUUAAUUAAUUAAGUUAAGUCACUUUAAGUCAUUAAGUUAAAAAACAAACGCAACCUUAGUCUGUAAAAUUUGGAGAACAUGUUUAACUUGUUUUCAGUUGUAUAGUUAUAAUAAUGAAUCCGAAUUUUGUGUUUUGUAAUUUGUUUUGUGAAAAAAAUCCACCAAACAUGUUUUAUGUGUGUAUUAUAAAAAUGAAAACGCAAAUAUGGCUUGAAAAACGGUACCAAACGGGCCCUUAACUUCUUAUUUCAUAAUCCAACUCCAUUACUAAGUUAAAAAAAAUUGUUUUAAAAUUACUUGAGUCAUAUCCAAUAGACCAACAAAGUAAUCGUUUUUAUUUUUAUUGAUUUUUGCAGGAAAUUAGUGGCUUAAAAAUACUGAAAGCUAUUGUAAAAAUCUUUAUUAUCAACCUCAUUGUUUUUUUUUUUUUUUGGGGAAGAGAAUUCAAUUUUUUUUUUUAAUGAAUAUCGCUGUUUCGUUUGAGUUGGAUGUGAAUUCAAAUUCAUUUGAGUUGGAUGUGAAUUCAAAUUCAAAUAUUCUUUGUUUUUCAAUUCUGAACUCGAUUUCUUUUUCUCAAGAAUGUUAUGUAGAAAUGAUUUUUACUAAAUCAUUUUUGAUGAAUUGUUUAAAUUAAACAAUUGGAAUAAGAAUUGUAACGAUUUAUCAUAAGCGCGCUAAUAUGAUAACUUGUUUUACGAAAGAUUAAUUAAUCAAUUAAUAUUAAAUUAUAUAUUAGUCAAUUAUAUAUGUGUUACAUUUGUCAUGGUUUGUGCGUGAUACUACAUAAUUUCUAAAAGAAUAUAGUAAAAACACGUUAAAAUGUUAUUUUAAUGAAUAAAAUUUUAUAAUUUUAUUAAUUAGGUGACACAAUAAUAAAUGGAUUUCUGUAAGAAUUGAGUUUCUUGAGAUAAUUAUUACAUAAGGAGAAGUUUAGUUGGUUCAAUUUUGACAUGUUAAGAAGAGCAUCACAGCACAGAAAACACAAAUUGCCACUUCCACUAAUAAAAGAUACCUGUUUGAAAAGUAAUUAUAAACUAUCUUCUUUGUGUUAUUUCUCAAAACUUUUGUGGCACAAAUGUUAUUUCCAUUGACAACAGUACGAAAUACCACCCCUUUCACUUGAGCAGGAGCAAAGCAAAGGUAUGAUGAGCUAUCUCUGUAUAAUUGAAACGCCAUUACUAAACGAUUCUUGAUGAUGGGAGCCACCGUGCCAGCUUUGUCGCUGAUUUGGUAUUAUUCUUAACUUGCAGAUAGUUGUGGAUAUGAUAUGCAAAAGGUAAGGACUAUAUCUUCUUGAUGGAGGCCUCUGAUUUUUUCCCUUCUAUGUAAUUUAGUAAAUCGCAUUUUCCUUUGUGAUUGAUAUAUCAUACCAAAGUCAAGUCUUAAAUACUGCUGUCAUAUGUUAAGGUUCAACUUCCAUUUUGAUUAACGUCCAUCUGCUGCUGCUUCCAAAAGUGAGAAUGAGAUACUUUGGUUAAUUUCAGUAGUUGAACCCAAUAGAGUACUUUAUUUAGAUCUUCAUGGUUCAAAGGCCUGAAAAAACUUGCCGGUAUUUGGAAAAUGACAUUCUGUGCUUUUAUUUAGACUUAUUAUUUAAGUGAUAAAAACUCCCGUAACCUGCUGUCAAGAAAAUUUCAGAUUGUUAAAAGACAACAUUUUGUUUCGGCCAAAAAUGUUUGUUUCGAUUAAAGACUUGAACCAUUUUCAUUUAACCUUGAUUGUGAUGCUUUACAUUAUGCAUGUUCCUCUCAAUCAAUAAAAGUUGAGGUCAUGAUUUUAUAUUUCUAUUUUGUAACUUGAAAUAAUUGGUCUGCCUGUUUCUGUAGCUUGAUAACAUGAAUUUUUCCUUCUGAAGUUAAUUUGAUCAAUAAAGUAAUUCUUCGGAGAUGAUAUGCCCAUUCUAUAGUCAUUUUCUUAGCUAACAUGUUUUUUCUUCACUCUUCAGAGCAUGUCUAAACUAAUUGAUCGCUCAGCGGAGACUUUGGGUGAGAAGACAAAAUUUCUUAGUAAAUCCUCUGAAAAGGUAUGCAUAAUUCUCGAGUAUUAAAUAACCAUUGGUCAUAAUUUUUGUUCUUUUUUUGGAGAUCGUUAAAAGUGGUUGAUGACCUAUUUUUUACUAUCAUAGAGGGAUCAUGAAUUCCUUUUCUUUUCUGUGGCUCGGCAACACUUUCGGGCCAAACUAAGGAAAUCUAUUUUAGGUAAUGUAAAAACCAGUUGUAGGAUGUAAUAGUUUAUUAUGCCCUGACAAUAACUUUUUGUAUAAUUGUCAGUUUAAUGAAUACAAGAGGAACUCUGUUGGCAAAUUCAUCCAUGAUAGAAUAUAGAUGCUAAAAUUAUUUAUGCAUACCAGUUGCCUUAACUAAUUUUUCUCAACACUGGUAUUGAACAGGAAAAUGAAUAUGCAAUUUGUAUAUUGUGCCAUUGUGGAGAAUUUGGAUAUUCUUAUUUAAGUAUCAAGGAGAGUAUUUGCCUCAUCUUUAAACAAUGAAUCUUUGAGAAAUGAGGAGUGGGUGAUUGGCAGUGUCUUCAUGUAAAUGUUCAUUUAUUUGUAUUUUGAACUAUUACGAGAAUCUUUGUGUGCCAAAUUAGUAAUACAAAUGUUCAGAUGAUUUUUCCUGUUGAUCAUGCGCGUGUAUCUGCACACAACCAUUGUGUACCACUUUAUUCUGAUGCGCAAAUAUCUGUAGUUUAGAAGAAAAGAAAUAAUAAUCAUAUAUUAUUGCUUGGUUCAUGAUUAUUAAACGAUUAUGGCUUUAGAAAAUCCACAAAUCCUUUGUGUUCAUAUAUGAAUGUGCAAAGUUUGCUAUAUCUUAGAUUACCUUCUUCCAAGAUAACAAGUUCAUAUAUUUUUUUUAAUCCUUUUUCAUCACAGUUGAAUUUCAAGUGUAAGUUUUGUUAUUAAUAGCUGGUGUCCUGUUAUUAUGAUUUCAUAAACAGUGAGCGGAUAUGUGCUCUACUUUUGGAGGGCCUCCACAUGAAAGAAAAUUGCAACAAUUGAAUUCUUCUGGAGGUUAUGGUAUUUAAUUUAUUUUCUCAGCUUGUUGAAAGACUAAUAUAUUUCCUUCAGUACGCACGGCGUGGUGGGAAGGGUUUUUAUUGAAAGAAUUAUGAUAUUUCUUAGACUUUGUUUUGGAAGGGGGUGGAGGGAUUUCUCAUCCAUAUAUGGUUACUUGAUUAGCUUUUGACUGUAUUGUCUCCGUCGUGCAAAGGAAAAUCCAAAUACUAACGAAGGGGAAUUGCUUAGGCACCCAAAAGACAGAAAUGAAUUACAGAAGGAAGUUUUUGCUGCUUUAUUUAGUGCUGCUGAGAAAUCUGAUGGAUUUCCUGAAAUUACGGUGAAGACGGAGUGGAGGUCCAACGCAUUAGGAAAGGUGGUGAGUGAACCGCCGGAGGAAUUAGUACCAGAAUACAAGGCUAAUGUGGUGCACUUGCAGCAAGAUGACCAGACCUGUAUGUGCUCUUAUAUUAACUAUAUUGUUGGAUUUGUGAGUGUGUACAUUUUUGUGUGUAUACUCACUUUUGUAUUUAUGCAUAUUAACGUGUGUAGGAUUCUUGAUUUCUGCCACUUACUGGAGAACUAGUGGAAAGCUUUAUACUGAUAUAUGUGCUAUAACUAAUGGAAACUACGAUAUGAAUAUUUUCUCUCACCUGGAGAACUGUAUAACAGAUAUAAUUUGUGGCUCUGGAAUACUGAAGAUUCUGCAAUAACUAAUGGAAAAUAUGAUAUGAAUAUUUUUUCUCACCUGGAGAACUUUGUAACAGAUACAUUUUGUGGCUCUGGAAUGUCUAAAGAAUGCUUCAGUUUAGAUCAAAUAUCUUUUAGUUAGAAAAGAUAAAAUUCUCUGAAUCUGAAAGACUGAAACAUUUUGCAUAUUUUGUGAAAGGGUAGUAUCUGUAGAUACUAGCUCAUGCAUUGAGGUAAUAUCAGUGUUAAAGAAAAACAACAAUAAUUUAUUAUACAAAAUUAGGUUCACUUGCUUUAAAUGCUGGUCUGAUCAACCAUAUCAACCUGUAAUGGUUCUGCAGAAAUAUAUAUACGGGGAGAAACUAGCUAAAUUUUCCUUUCACUUAUGGGUUUGGUCUUUUUUUCCCCUAUUUUUCAGCUUUCCUUCUCCUGAAGUAUGUUAACAAUUGCAGAUAAUGACGAAGAGGACCGCUUCCAGGCUCUUUGUAGAGCUGUGAUGGAAUAUAGGGGCACAAUGAAGGAAUAUUGUAAGGCUGUAGGUACUUUCUCUCUUGUCAUUUAUGUUUUCUCACACAUUUUGUAUAUGCCCUGAACAUGCAGCUUUGUAUGUGUCAAUUGCCUUUUACAUUUUAAAAGCCAUAAAGUAAGAAUACAGUUCCUUGUCAGGCUAUUGAUGCGUUCGCUCAGAAGGGUCAUGUUCAAGCAGGAAAACUUCUAGAACAUGUAAGGUUUCCAUCUACAGCCAUCCAUUGACAGUGUCAAAGUAUUUGGCUGCAGCUUCUAGAAGCUACAUCUAGAAGCUUUGAUGCAGCAAAUGUUGAAGGCACCGCCAAGGAGAAAAAGAAGGAAGAAUGAAGAAGAUGUUGCAGAAGUUGAUCUUGACAAAUGAUGGUUGGAACGCCAAAAUGGAAGAAAGAAAAAAGGUUGGAACACGGCUUUGAAGAAGCCACGAGAAGAAUAAAGAAAAUAUUAAAAUAAUAGCUAAUUUUGGCUAUAUAAAGGAAGCUCCCCUUUUUUUGGUUUGUGUAUCCAAUCCUCAGUUUCUCUUCUUCAUUCAGAGAGUGUUUCUUUGGGGUGUAUUUGGGGAUUAGGUGAGAGAAAAUUAUUUCUGAAAGAGUGGUUGUAAUAAUUUUCCACAUAGUGAAUAUUUUUUCUCUGGUUGUCUUUUUGACAACGGCCGUGGUUUUUCUCCAUAUUUGGAGUUUUCCACGUAAAUCUUGUGUUGUGGGAUUGAUAUUAUUUUUCAUUUAAUUUUUCUUGUUAAUUUGUUAAUUGAAAAAUUGCUUGGAGAGAUCCUGGGAGGAAGCUCAAUUUCCUAACAGUGGUAUCAGAGCCAUUGAUUGAAGUUUUUUGGUGUCGGGGCACUGCUCACGUAUACGGUACUGUUUACGUAUACGGUACUAUUCACGUGAAGCAGUGGGAGCCAAUCCAAACAGUUCGUGGUGAAGAGUAAAAGCUUAUCUGCAAAGCAAAUAUGUCAGGAUUGAAAUUUUCAAGUCCGGUGAAAUUUGAAAUAGAAAAAUUCGAUGGGAGAAUUAACUUUGGCUCGUGGCAAGUUCAAGUCAAAGAUGUGUUGAUUCAAUCUGGGUUACACAAGGCAUUGAAAGGGAAGCCAUCCCCUGCUUCCAGUAGUGGCUCUGGAAAAGCUAGUAUAAGUGAUGAAGAUUGGGAAGAAUUAGAUGAUCGAGCUGCAAGUGCCAUACGACUAUGUCUAGCAAAGAAUGUUCUUGCAAAUGUAGGAAAAAUUCCUACAGCGAAAGAACUUUGGGAGAAGCUAGAAAAGUUGUAUCAGACAAAGAGCAUCUCAAAUCGAUUGUACCUGAAGGAGCGAUUUCACACACUGCGAAUGGCUGAAGGUACAAAAAUUUCUGAUCACCUCAGUGUUCUCAAUGGUAUUGUGUCAGAACUAGAAGCCAUUGGAGUUAAAAUUGAAGAUGAGGACAAGGCGCUUAGGUUACUAUGGUCACUUCCAACUUCCUACAAACACUUGUUACCUACUUUGAUGUACGGGAAGGAGACAGUAGAUCUUGAAGAAGUUACUAGUACUUUACUCUCAGAAGAAAGAAGACUGAAUGGUGAAAGUACUAAAACUACAGAUGUCUCGGCUUUGGCAGUUGUAGGGAAUUGGCAGAAAGAUAAAUCUAAGAAGAAAGGAGUCUGCUGGGGGUGUGGACAAUCGGGGCACUUAAAAAGAGAUUGUCAUAGUAGAAAUAGAGUAGGAUCGGCAAGUGGCUCCAGAUUAGAUAUUGAUAGUAUUGCUAGUGGUAAGUCUCUCAUCAUCGUGGGAGACGAUGAUCCCUUAUAAAAUGGAUGAUGAUGACAUCCUCAUGGUAUACCGCUAGUACCAUGAAAGGGGAUAUGUUACUACUAGCGGGUCCACAAGAUUUACACACAAGGCAUGGUUGGCAUUGAUGCAGGGUGUGUGGUGGAAUUUAUGUCGAUGGCUGACAAACUUCCAGGAAGACCAACAUGGAAGUUGCACCAUAAAUUUCAGCAAGAUAUUUCGACAUGUGCCGAUGUAAAAUUCUUAGAAUUGUUAAUUAAUUCUAAGUGGUAUACUCUUUAUGGUGGAGUAUGAUAAUUCUCUAUGGUGAGGAUUAUGACUAAGGUGAAAAUAGUAAGGUUAGUGUGGAGAUUGAUUGAUUCUCAAUCAAAACUCCAAGUGGGAGAAUGUCAAAGUAUUUGGCUGCAGCUUCUAGAAGCUACAUCUAGAAGCUUUGAUGCAGCAAAUGUUGAAGGCACCGCCAAGGAGAAAAAGAAGGAAGAAUGAAGAAGAUGUUGCAGAAGUUGAUCUUGACAAAUGAUGGUUGGAACGCCAAAAUGGAAGAAAGAAAAAGGUUGGAACACGGCUUUGAAGAAGCCACGAGAAGAAUAAAGAAAAUAUUAAAAUAAUAGCCAAUUUUGGCUAUAUAAAGGAAGCUCCCCUUUUUUUGGUUUGUGUAUCCAAUCCUCAGUUUCUCUUCUUCAUUCAGAGAGUGUUUCUUUGGGGUGUAUUUGAGGAUUAGGUGAGAGAAAAUUAUUUCUGAAAGAGUGGUUAUAAUAAUUUUCCACAUAGUGAAUAUUUUUUCUCUGGUUGUCUUUUUGACAACGGCCGUGGUUUUUCUCCAGAUUUAGAGUUUUCCACGUAAAUUUUGUGUUGUGGGAUUGAUAUUAUUUUUCAUUUAAUUUUUCUUGUUAAUUUGUUAAUUGACAAAUUGCUUGGAGAGAUCCUGGGAGGAAGCUCAAUUUCCUAACAGACAGCAGAUACAUUUUCAUUGAGCAGACACUGUUAGCAUUCAAGAUGCUGGCAGAUUCACUUGAUUCUUAUUAGUUUGUUUAGUGGCAAAGCAUAUAACCUGUAUUUCAAAGCCAAGUUGUGCUAUUGAUUAUGUUAACUUUAUUGUUAACCUAAAGUGAUAUGGAGGACAUAAUCAAUGUAGGAAAAUUAGGUGAAGAGACGAUGUCAACUCUUGAACCUCUUACAAAGCUCCAAGUUCUUUACUUGAAGAAGCUGCCAAAUUUGAAGAGCGUCUACUGGAAGGCAUUUCCAUUCCCAGAUGUAUGCAGAAUUUUUGUAUUAAUGCCCAGUUCUUAAGAACCUGCCACUGGAUUUUCAAGGGACGGGCCAAGGUAAAAUUCUUAUCAAGGGAAAGGAAGAUUGGUGGAAAGAACUUCAAUGGGAGGAUCAAGCAACUCAGAAUGCAUUGCUUCCAUUUUUCAAAUCAACUGACAAGUGAUUGAAGGGGGCAUCAUCAACAUCAUCAACAGAGAUGGAGAGAUUCUGGAGCAGAUCAGCAGGGUUUGUAUAUGAUCUUUGGUGGUUGCUUUCUUUUGUGAUUUUUUUUUUCUUCCUGUCAUUUUAUCAUUUCUUUGUCUCUUUUUCUAUUGCUGAUGUUAGUGUAUGCUUACUGUUGCUUGACAAAGUUUGCUUGCUUCUUGUUUAUUAAAUUUUUUAUGGUCACAAAAUAUUACUUGUUCUAUUUGAGAGUGAUGUGAAUCAAUUUUCAAUUAUAUAUUUUGUGGUCAAUGUGAAUUCAAUUUCAUUUGUCUCCUGCAAUUAUGAGAAAAUUGCAGAGUCAUAAUAUGGAAAAGAACACCAGCAAAAACUUUGUAAAAGCUUCGGAGUGAAACAGGGAAUUCACUUACUACUAAGAACAAUUGAUGGCGAGCUAUUCCAUUCAUUUUAUGUCCAUCCAUCUAUUUAAUUAUUAAAGAUAAGUGGUCCAUUUAUAAAUUUUAGAUUUUCUCUCUUUGAAAAUAACAAUAUGUAAAAUAUCUCUUAAAUUAUUAUAAAUUUUAAUUUACUCUCGAUUUAAAACGGAACAUGCUGAUGAAAUUUUUUUCUUCUUACUAAAAUUGAAAUAAAUUGUGUUUGCAGUAGUUUGAAAUAUUUUAAAGAUUAUUAUUUUAUAAGGGAGUAAUAUGAAAUGAAAUUUACUUUUCAUGCGUGAAAUGUUGAAAAAGGACAAAGGAAGUGUCCCUGCUUUUAUUUUAUUUCAAAGUGGAGUCAUCUCACAUACUUUAGCUCUAACAUUACAAUUUUUCAGGUUACAUUUUUAUUUAUUUAUUUUCUUUUUUACACAUGCAUGUGGGUUACUUUUCCGUAAGCUCCUUUAUAUAUAUUGAACCCUACGAAGAAUGUUAUGGAAGAGCAAAUGAUAUUUCUGAUAGACUCUAUUUGAUUAUGUAGCCUGAAUGGAUGUCUUGUUGAAAGAUAUUUCAGUGCAUUAGUUCAUCCUUGUCUCUCAAUGUGUUUUUAAUGGUUUUUCCAAUUGUUUAUUAUUAUAGAUUGAUUGUAAAUUGAUAUGAAUUUAAUGUUGAAAUGUUUUCUCUUUAGUGGAAUGAAUUUAAAAGUGCAAAAGAUUAUUGCACACGGAGAAAUAAACAUAUAUGCUUUAUAACUUUAGCAAUCGAUUCUUUUACAGCUGGAAACAGAGAUGAUGAUUAUCAUAAGGAUGAAGAAAAGGACAAAAAUUGUCAAUGAUUAACGAAAUCUCUAUGCAAAUUGAUUUUAGCAGGAAAAAAGUGAGCUAAAUGAUGGAGACGAUUAGUGGUAAUAUUUCAUAGAGUUCCUUCCAAUCUUCUCAUGAAUCCCCUUUUUGAGUUAUAUUUAUUUUAUUUUUAAAAUAUCUUUUUUCUCUUUUACUACACUUCUAAUUUUUCAUUUUUUUUUAUUGUUAAACUCAAAGUAGUAUUGUGAUAUUUUUUAUUUAUUUUGCAAUCUUAUUAUUACUCUACACUUAAGUUAAAAAGUUUUAUAGGUGAUGAAUUUUUGAAUGUUAAUCAUUAGCUUAAAUUUCACAUAUUUUACAUUAUAAUUUGAAAUUUAGUACCAAAAUAUUUAAUCAAUAAGAAUUAUGAAAAGAUUAAUAGAUUAUUCUAAAUUUAUACAACUUAUUUUAGUUAGAUCAGAAGUAGCAGGUUAAAAAAAGAAAAGAUUGGUUAUGAAAUUUGUUGGAAAAAAAUCUAUGUGUGUUUAAUUUUUAUUCGUUGUUAACUCUAAUUAAAUAGGUUAAAUAAUUUUGUUAUUUUUUACUUAUCAAAAAAUUUAAGAUCAAUAUUUUUAGUUACCAUUUGAAGGAUAUUAUGACAAAAACAAAAUUUUCAUGUCUUUGUUAAAAAUUUGGGGGUUUGUAUAACUAUUUUUUCAAAUGUUAGGGGCAUAACUGUCUUUUUACUCUUAUAUAUAUGAACCAUGGUGGUGAAAAAGCGUGAUUUAAUGUUAUUUAUUUAAAUAAUAUCUCAAUUAAAAAUGUAAGCAGAAGAAAUUUUGGUGGGUAUUUUAGUCUUCUAACGAUUAUCAUGAUUAGGCCCUGGUCUUGAAACGUUGGUCAGAAAAAUUUUAAAAUGCGUUCAUUGUCUUUACUUUAAAAACGUUAUUUUAUUUUAUUUUAUUACAAAUUAAUGCCAACAAGAAAAAGCAAGAUCUAAUAUUCCACAAAAGGAAAUCGUAAUAUUCCAUAAAAGCAAAUAACCAGCUGGAUUCUUUUAUUGAACUACAAAUUAAAGUGGAAUCUUUUAUUAAACAACAAAUUAAAGUUCAAAUAUUUAAAUAGUAGUGCGUUAGACGAUUAGGCUCUCUUAUUAAAGGCAAGUAUAAAGUAGUCAAGAAUCGAACAUCUCUAUUGUCUAGUCUUUUUUUUUUAAUUCUUCUUUUAUUAUUUUUCAGAAUAGGUUUUGGUGAUUACUAUUGGGUUAUUAUUCAGAGUUAUUGUUAUCUUCCGGGGCAGUUUCUGUUAAUCGAAAUCGUUAAUUAAAAUUUUAGAACUCUUAUGGGAAGAAUGUUUUUCUGUUAUCUUUUUUAUAUUCUAAUUUCAACUGUAAGGAGUCGUUUUAGAAUUUGGGUCUGGAAUCGAAUUUCAAUGCAUGAAUUAAUAUUUUUAAAAAAAAUUACUACACGCAGUUUAGGUUACAAACUAUUUUUUGCAAAGUUGACUAUGAAAUUGGAGAAAUUAAGUAAUUUAUAAUGUUUGCAAAGGAAGAGACUAACAUACUUCCAAUUACACUAUCUCUCUAUUAUCAUAAUAUUAAGACUAAAGUAACUUUAAAUAAAUUUUAUUUGAAAAGUUAUAUCAAAUGCAGUCUAAUUUUAUUAACUUGAAGAGUUAAUAAUUAUAGAAAUUAUUGUUCUAACUUAAUUAGUACAAGUGGUAUAAAGGUUAAGUGUGCACUAAAUCUGUUUAAAUUUUUUCCAGAAUAACUAACAGAGGUCAUUACUAGAAUUAUAAUUACUAGUCUAUUAGAUAGAAAAAAUUAUUUAUAUUGUUUUAUAUUUAUUAAAAAAUUUUAAAGUCAAUCUUUUUAAUUACUAUUUAAAAAAUAUUAUAAUUAAAAAAAUUUAAUGUCUUUAUUAAAAAUUUAAAAAUUUACAUGACCGUUCUAUAAAUAUUUAAAGUGUAACUGUCAUUUUCUCAUAUAUAUAUAUAUAAAUCACGGUGGUGAAGCUUUAUUUAAUAUUAAUGAUUUAAAUAAUAAUAUCUCAAUUAAAAAUGUACAGAGAAUAAAUUUCGGUGGGUAUAUUAGUCUUUUACAAUUAUCAUGAUUAGCCCUUCCUCUUGUAACGUAGGUCAGAAAAGUUUUAAAAUGCCUUGAUUUCAAUUUCUGCUUUAUAUUUUUCCCCGUAUAAUGGGGAGAGGUCAUUACUAAAAUUUCUCUUCCACAGCAAUUACAGCAGCUUCAGUUAAUCAAACUCAAAUCAAUUUUCUUUCUUAACAAAAUUCCAAAGAUGUGUAGCAUUUUUCAGAUCACAUGCGAUGGUGCUCUUUUCAAUCGUUGCUUGGAUUGCUUUCUCGGAAAAGCAGCAUACAUAAGCAACCUCCAAGAUAAUCUUGAUGCCUUGGACACUGAACUGGGAAGACUAAUCGCAGCAAAGAACGAUGUGAUGAUGAGGGUUGUCAAUGCUGAACGGCAACAAAUGAGAAGGCUGGACGGAGUGCAAGUGUGGGUUUCGAGGGUGGAUGCUGUUAAAACUGGAGCCGAUGAAUUGAUGAGGCACAGCUCUCAAGAAAUUGACAAAUUAUGUGUUGGAGGCUACUGUUCCAAGAACUGCAGGUCAAGCUACAAGUUCGGAAAACAAGUGGCUAAAAAGCUACAAGAUGUGAAGACUUUAAUCGCCGAGGGAGUUUUUGAGGCGGUGGCCACUGAGGUGGUGCCCGAGAGAGCUCCGGAACCUGUAGCAGAUAAAAGACCCAUUGAGCCAACAAUAGUAGGCUUGCAAUCACAGCUUGAAGAAGUUUGGAGAUGUCUUGUAGAAGAAUCAGUGGGAAUCAUUGGCCUAUAUGGUAUGGGCGGUGUUGGUAAAACCACACUAUUGACCCAUAUCAACAAUAAAUUUCUUGAGAGUCCCACAAACUUUGAUUGUGUGAUUUGGGUCGUAGUUUCAAAAGACCUGCGACUUGAAAAAAUUCAAGAAGAUAUUGG
RNAcentral lists this long non-coding RNA (84703 nucleotides) under Citrus maxima (pomelo). RNAcentral's name for it is "long non-coding RNA (CMAX_LNC000240)". Lineage: Eukaryota; Viridiplantae; Streptophyta; Magnoliopsida; Sapindales; Rutaceae. The record is from RNAcentral.